GCCGAGGCGACGACGACGCUGCGCAUGCGGCGCGGGGCGGCUUGGAGCGCGAGGCUGGAGGCGGCUGAGACGGCCAUGGCCGGCGGUGAGGUGUGCCGGGCUCGCGCGCGUCUGCUCGAUCGGCUCGGCCUCAGGCGCGCGUGCGGUGAGGAGUGGCGGUGUGUGUGGCGCGGAGGAGGCUGCUCCUCCUCUCGUAGUGGGGCUGGGAGGAUGUGGUGGACACCGGUGGGUUUGGUUGGUUGCCUCUCGUCGCGCCAACGAGGAGCGGACAUGUCACGCUCACACCAGACAAGUGGCUCCCGAUGUGGCCGCGGCUGGGCUUCUCAAGCAGUCAAGCUCGUGACGGCGACUUCCGGCACGACUCACGAAGACGUGGCGGUGAGCCGGACCGUCAAGCAGCUGCUCCGGUAGCGCCGCACAUGGAGCCCUGCGGUGCUCGGGUCCAUGAACGGCAACCGGCAGCCGUUGCUUUAUUUGCUACUUGCUCCAGUGAUUGAGCACAUAAGCAGAUUAAUCUUCCAUCAGCACUUGCACUUCUAGCAGUGAUUUUACUCCUGUUUUAGACUAUAACCAAUACUUAUAUUUCAGUAUUGUUUUCUGUUGAGUACCAAUGUAUUCGAGAUCUUAAGUUGAUGUAAUAUGUUUCCACGUUUAUCACGUGUCGAGAUUAAUUACGUCCAUUUGCAAUUGAGAUUUUUAAUCUCUUGCAAAGAUAAAUUCAGUACAUCUACAGUACUGAUUUGCGAUUGAAAAUUUUAUUCUUCCGCAAAACAAUCUCAUUGUGGUUGAGAUUAAUCUCUCUCGCGAAACAUAUUAAUUCACCAUGGUUAAUUAUCUUGCAAUUUGAUACAAGAUCAUCUCAUUUAAUAUGAAGUCUAUACAAUUCAAGUUUUUCACUUGAUCAUCAAGUUUGCAACAUCAUUACUAUUCAUUACAAUAGUAGUGUAUAUCUGUAGAGUACAUUGUAUUCCAGAAUAAAUUGUGAUGUAAUAAAUUUCCAUGUUAUUCUAUAUGUCGAGAUUAUUUACAUCUGUUAUUUGCAAUUGAGAUAUUCAAUUUCUUGCAAAUAAAAAUCAAUUCAUUUUAAUUGAGCCAUUGGCUUGAUACGAGCAAGAAUUGAUAUCCAAAUUCUUAGUGUUGUUUUUCAAAUUGAUAUUUUGAGAAUCACAAGGUAGUGUGUAGAUCUACCGCUUUGCAGAUCAUCACCACUACUAUUAAAGCCUGCAUUUUGUCACUUUGACAAUAUGAUUGCUUUACAAAAUGUCCUCCCCACAUAUUUCACUAAGUCAUGACAUAAGGCAUUACGAGUGAGUAUAUACUGAUUUCAUCGGAUUAUACUCCCUAGUGCUGCGAGAUCCACUCCAUUUUGAAGAUUAUCUUCAAAGUGUCAUACUUAGCAAUUUGAGAUUCACGUUAAUGGUCUCAAGAUAACUUCUUGAAAUACUCAUUAAUUUUGCUAAGCUCACUACAACAUUAACCAUGGUAGUCUUUAAUUUACUAACCGUAAAUUAAUUAUCUCUCGUAACUGAUGGCUAGAGAAUUUGAGGCAUUCGCGCCUCAAUAGCCACCACUGCCUUUCCAUGGGCCAAGGAAAUUAUGAUCACUCUUGAGUCUCGUGGGAUAAUGUGUGAAAUCCAAAACUGUAAGAUUUAUCUAUGGUCAGGAUCACACCGCUAACAGAAAAAUGUUGUCUUAUACAUAAUAAGGCGUUAUAUUGGUUCAGGUCUUAGCAUCUGGUUAUUCCGUAUCAACAAUUCCUGGGCACAAUGAACCUCAAGGGCAAAGGCUUGAAGCUCACUUCAACCUUCAACCUGACAUCACUAAUGAUGACGGAUCCUAUGUGCAUGGAGAAUGUGUGGUUCAUUAUGCCUCAACCGACAUGUUUGGAGAUUAUGAGUAGUCUCUCAAUCUCAAUGUACAAAUACAUUUGUAUGUAUUCUAUAUAUCCGACAGUGAAUUUUUGAGAAUCAUCAUGCCUAUAUAUAGAUUUCUACGAGGGUCAAUCUGAUGAAAGAUGAAUUGUGCAUUAUGGACAUAUGCGCCACGGACUCUAUACUCAGGAAAGUCCAAUGUUUUCACUCUCGUUGAGAGAAAGGAGAUAUUUUAAAAUCGCUAGACGUGAUGAGGUAUUUGUUGGCUCAACUUGAGUCAUAUUUACUAUCCCUGUGGGUACUCGAGUAACGUCGGGAUGCUUUAUUGCUUCCCAGAUUUAACUCGUACCCUACUAAACUAUAGAGGUAUCCGUCAAAAUAGUUCCCAUAGCGAAACUUAUGAUGACAGCAACGAAUAUGGCAGGCAAAUUUUUUAUGUAUCAUCUGAAUUGUACUACACAUACGACACAACCCGUAGCACAUGUUGCGUAUGAGAUAGUUUUCCAGAGUAUCUUGUACAUGACAAACUUGGCAUUCUCGCCUUGGUCAUCGAGAUAUUGGGUUGAAAGCGAAAGUAUCACCAAUUCCAAUAGUUUAUGAUUAUUAUGAUGCUAAAUUCUAACAGUAUUUGGAUUUUGUGUGCACUACAUGUGACACAAGGAAGCUAAUUUUAAGGCUCGCGCACCUUAAAGUCUAUGCUGAACCACUCAGACUCCUUGAAUGCAUCAAGUCGAGGUAAGUGGCUCUUCCCAUCCAUUGACUAGACCAUUUAGGUAUUCCAUGGUUCUAAAAGCCAUAUCUAUAUGAUUGUCUCAAGUGUGAUUUAUUCACAUGAAACCAUUGGUGAUGGGAAACGUCGCAUGGGAAACAAAAAAAAAUUCCUACGCGCACGAAGACCUAUCAUGGUGAUGUUCGACUACGAGAGGGGAUUUCCGAUCUACGUACCCUUGUAGAUCGCACAGCAGAAGCGUUAGUGAACGCGGUUGAUGUAGUGGAACGUCCUCACGUCCCUCGAUCCGCCCCGCAAACCGUCCCACGAACCGUCCCGCGAUCCGUCCCACGAUCUAGUGCCGAACGGAUGGCACCUCCGCGUUCAGCACACGUACAGCUCGACGAUGAUCUCGGCCUUCUUGAUCCAGCAAGAGAGACGGAGAGGUAGAUGAGUUCUCCGACAGCGUGACGGCGCUCCGGAGGUUGGUGGUGAUCUGAUCUCGGCAGGGCUCCGCCCGAGCUCCGCAGAAACGCGAUCUAGAGGUAAAACCGUGGAAGUAUGUGGUCGGGCUGCCUUUGAAAAGUUGUCUCAAAUCAGCCCUAAUUGCUCCAUAUAUAUAGGAGGAGGGAGGGGAGGCUUGCCUUGAGGCUCAAGGAGCCCCAAGGGCUGCGCACCAAGGGGAGGAGGAGUCCUCCUCCAAUCCUAGUCCAACUAGGAUUGGAAAGUGGAGUCCUUCUCUCCUUUCCCACCUCCUUUUUUUCUUUCUCUUUGAUUUUCUAUCCUUCGCGCAUAGGGUCCUCUUGGGCUGCCCCACCAGCCCACCAAGGGCUGGUGCGCCACUCCCAAGGCCUAUGGGCUUCCCCGGGGUGGGUUGCCCCCCCGGUGAACACCCGGAACCCAUUCGUCAUUCCCGGUAACUCCGAAAACCUUCCGGUAAUCAAAUGAGGUCAUCCUAUAUAUCAAUCUUCGUUUCCGGACCAUUCUGGAAACCCUCGUGACGUCCGUGAUCUCAUCCGGGACUCCGAACAACAUUCGGUAACCAACCAUAUAACUCAAAUACGCAUAAAACAACGUCGAACCUUAAGUGUGCAGAACCUGCGGGUUCGAGAACUAUGUAUACAUGACCCGAGUGACUCCUCGGUCAAUAUCCAAUAGCGGGACCUGGAUGCCCAUAUUGGAUCCCACAUAUUCUAUGAAGAUCUUAUCGUUUGAACCUCAGUGCCAAGGAUUCAUAUAAUCCCGUAUGUCAUUCCCUUUGUCCUUCGGCAUGUUACUUGCCCGAGAUUCGAUCGUCGGUAUCCGCAUACCUAUUUCAAUCUCGUUUACCGGCAAGUCUCUUUACUCGUUCCGUAAUACAAGAUCCCGCAACUUACACUAAGUCACAUUGCUUGCAAGGCUUGUGUGUGAUGGUGUAUUACCGAGUGGGCCCCGAGAUACCUCUCCGUCACACGGAGUGACAAAUCCCAGUCUCGAUCCAUACUAACUCAACGAACACCUUCGGAGAUACCUGUAGAGCAUCUUUAUAGUCACCCCGUUACGUUGCGACGUUUGAUACACACAAAGCAUUCCUCCGGUGUCAGUGAGUUAUAUGAUCUCAUGGUCAUAGGAACAAAUACUUGACACGCAGAAAACAGUAGCAACAAAAUGACACGAUCAACAUGCUACGUCUAUUAGUUUGGGUCUAGUCCAUCACGUGAUUCUUCUAAUGACGUGAUCCAGUUAUCAAGCAACAACACCUUGUAUAUAAUCAGAAGACCCUGACUAUCUUUGAUGAACUGGCUAGCCAACUAGGGGCUUGCUAGGGAUAGUGUUUUGUCUAUGUAUCCACACAUGUAUAUAAGUCUUCAUUCAAUACAAUUAUAGCAUGGAUAAUAAACGAUUAUCUUGAUACAGGAAUUAUAAUAAUAACUAUAUUUAUUAUUGCCUCUAGGGCAUAAUUCCAACAGUCUCCCACUUGCACUAGAGUCAAUAAUCUAGCCCUCACAUCAUCAUGCGAAUUACAUUGUAAUAAAUCUAACACACAUACAGUUCUGGUGUUGAUCAUGCUUUGCCCGUGGAAGAGGUUUAGUCAGCGGGUCUGCUACAUUCAGAUCCGUGUGCACUUUGCAUAUAUUUACGUCCUCCCCUUCGACGUAGUCGCGGAUGAGGUUGAAGCGUCGUUUGAUGUGUCUGGUCUUCUUGUGAAACCGUGGUUCCUUUUCUAAGGCAAUGGCACCCGUGUUGUCACAGAACAAGGUUAUUGGAUUCAGUGCGCUUGGCACCACUCCAAGAUCCGUCAUGAACUGCUUCAUCCAGACACCCUCCUUAGCCGCCUCCGACGCAGCCAUGUACUCCGCUUCACAUGUAGAAUCAGCUACGACGCUUUGCUUGGAACUGCACCAGCUUACAGCACCCCCAUUAAGAAUAAAUACGUAUCCGGUCUGCGACUUAGAGUCGUCCGGAUCUGUGUCAAAGCUUGCAUCGACGUAACCCUUUACGGCGAGCUCUUCGUCACCUCCACACACGAGAAACAUCUCCUUAGUCCUUUUCAGGUACUUCAGGAUAUUCUUAACCGCCGUCCAGUGAUUCACUCCUGGAUUACUCUGGAACUUGCCUGCCAUACUUAUGGCCAGGCUAACGUCCGGUCUAGUGCACAACAUUGCAUACGUGAUAGAUCCUAUGGCUGAAGCAUAGGGGACGGUGCUCAUAUGCUCUCUAUCUUUAUCAGUUGCUGGGCACUGAGUCUUACUCAAUCUCGUACCUUGUAAAACUGGAAAGAACCCUUUCUUGGACUGUUCCAUUUUGAACCUUUUCAAAACUUUAUCAAGGUAUGUGCUUUGUGAAAGUCCUAUCAGGCGUUUCGAUCUAUCCCUGUAGAUCUUAAUGCCUAGAAUGUAAGCAGCUUCUCCUAGGUCCUUCAUAGAGAAACUUUUAUUCAAGUAAUCCUUUACGCUCUCCAAAAACUCUACAUUGUUUCCAAUCAGCAAUAUGUCAUCUACAUAUAAUAUCAGAAACGCCACAGAGCUCCCACUCACUUUCUUGUAAAUACAAGAUUCUCCAACCACUUGUAUAAACCCAAAUGCUUUGAUCACCUCAUCAAAGCGUUUGUUCCAACUCCAAGAUGCUUGCACCAGUCCAUAAAUGGAUCGCUGGAGCUUGCACACCUUGUUAGCAUUCUUAGGAUCGACAAAACCUUUGGGUUGCAUCAUAUACAACUCUUCCUUAAGGAAACCGUUAAGGAACGCCGUUUUGACAUCCAUCUGCCAGAUUUCAUAAUCGAAAAAUGCAGCUAUUGCUAACAUGAUUCUGACGGACUUAAGCAUCGCUACGGGUGAGAAUGUCUCAUCGUUGUCAACUCCUUGAACUUGUGAAAAACCUUUUGCCACAAGUCGAGCUUUAUAAACGGUCACAUUGCCGUCAGCGUCCGUCUUCUUCUUAAAGAUCCAUUUGUUCUGAAUAGCCUUGCGGCCCUCAGGUAGUACUUCCAAAGCCCACACUUUGUUUUCAUACAUGGAUCCUAUCUCGGACUUCAUGGCCUCCAGCCAUUUGUUGGAAUCUGGGCCCACCAUUUCUUCUUCAUAAUUUGCAGGUUCAUUGUUGUCUAACAACAUGAUUGACAAAACGGGAUUACGGUACCACUCUGGAGCAGCACGUGGUCUCGUCGACCUGCGUGGUUCGAUAGGAACUUGAACCGGAGUUUCAUGAUCAUCAUCAUUAACUUCCUCCUCAACCGGCGUCGCAACAACAGGGGUUUCCCCUUGCCCUGCGCCACCAUCCAGAGGGAUGAGAGGUUCGACAACCUCAUCAAGUUCUAUCUUCCUCCCACUCAAUUCUCUCGAGAGAAACUCCUUCUCGAGAAAAGCUCCGUUUUUAGCAACAAACACUUUGCCCUCGGAUUUGAGAUAGAAGGUGUACCCAACUGUCUCUUUUGGGUAACCUAUGAAGAUGCACCUUUCCGCUUUGGGUUCCAUCUUUUCAGGCUGAAGCUUUUUGACAUAAGCAUCACAUCCCCAAACUUUAAGAAACGACAACUUUGGCCUUUUGCCAUACCACAGUUCGUAUGGUGUCGUCUCAACGGAUUUUGAUGGUGCCCUAUUUAAAGUGAAUGCAGUUGUGUCUAAUGCAUAACCCCAAAAUGAUAACGGCAAACCGGUAAGAGACAUCAUAGAUCGCACCAUCUCUAAUAAAGUACGAUUACGACGUUCGGACACACCAUUAUGCUGUGGUGUUCCAGGCGGUGUCAACUGUGAAACAAUUCCACAUUGUCUUAAGUGAGCACCAAACUCGAAACUCAGAUAUUCACCCCCACGAUCAGACCGUAGGAACUUGAUCUUCUUGUUACGAUGAUUUUCAACUUCACUCUGAAAUUGCUUGAACUUUUCAAAUGUUUCAGACUUGUGCUUCAUUAAGUAGACAUAACCAUAUCUACUCAAAUCGUCAAUGAAGGUGAGAAAAUAACGAUAUCCGCUGCGUGCCUCCACGCUCAUCGGACCGCACACAUCGGUAUGUAUGAUUUCCAAUAAGUCACUGGCACGCUCCAUUGUUCCGGAGAACGGAGUUUUAGUCAUCUUGCCCAUGAGGCAUGGUUCGCACGUGUCAAGUGAUAAAAAGUCAAGUGACUCCAAAAGUCCAUCGGUAUGGAGUUUCUUCAUGCUUUUACACCAAUAUGACCUAAGCGGCAGUGCCACAAAAACAUGGCGCUAUCAUUGUUAACUCUAACUCUUUUGGUCUCAAUGUUAUGUAUAUGUGUAUCACUAUCAAGAUUCAAUAUGAACAAUCCUCUCACAUUGGGUGCAUGACCAUAAAAGAUGUUACUCAUAGAAAUAGAACAACCAUUAUUCUCUGACUUAAAAUAGUAACCGUCUCGCAAUAAACAAGAUCCAGAUAUAAUGUUCAUGCUCAACGCAGGCACUAAAUAACAAUUAUUCAAGUUCAUNNNNNNNNNNNNNNNNNNNNNNNNNNNNNNNNNNNNNNNNNNNNNNNNNNNNNNNNNNNNNNNNNNNNNNNNNNNNNNNNNNNNNNNNNNNNNNNNNNNNGGAGAUCGUAUGUUCAUCAACAGCUAGAAAUUGGGGGGGGGGGGAGUGCGCUUGCUUAUUUGAUGAUUGCGUGUUUGUAAAAAGGUUGUUCUGUCAUGCGGUAUUAAAUGCACUCUAUUUGGUUUACAGUCCCGUGCGUUGCAACGGUAAACCAAAAUAUUACGUCGUAGCCAAAUAAGUAUGGCUCAAUAUCCUGACAUAUGAGCGUUCUCUAUUUUUCUAUUUUACCAUGAUGGCCCAUCAUAUUACCACUUAUUUUUUUUUGCCAUCCUCGUUGAUGAUGGCCCCGCUGUCCAUGUUAUCAAAUUUUGUAACAUUUUAUAAAUGUCACACACAUUUUCUUUGAAUUCAUGGAUAUGUUUUGAAUACAUCAUCAUUUUCAAAAUCUUGAAUGUUUUAUAUUGGAUGAAUAUAUUUUUCAAAAUUGUGAAUUCUUUUACGAUAUCGAAACAGUUCUUUAAAAUCAUCAACAUUUUUUAGUCCGUGAUCAUUUUAUGUUUUCCUGAAAGUUUAUUUAAAUUACAAACAUUUUAUGAUUUCAUGAUUCGUUUUUCCAAAACUCAAAACCUUUUAAAUACAGAAUUUUGAAAAAUUCUGAAUUAAUUUAUAGAAGAAAAAUAAAUUGAAAUAAGAAACAUUUUAUAUUUUCCAGAAUAUAUUUGUCAAAAUUGUGAAUUAUUUUAUAAUAUGCAAACUGUUUUUUGAAAAUCAUAAACAAUUUUGAAUUCCGCAAACAAUUUAUGAUUUCCUGAUCCUUCUUAUGAAUUUCUAGACAUUUUAUGAUUUCCUGAACAUUUUUUCUAUGUUUUGAAUACAUGAUCAUUUUCAAAAUCAUGAACGUUCUAUAUUUUCUGAAUAUAUUUUUGAAAAUUGUGGAUUCUUUUAUAAUAUGCAAACAUUUGUUCAAAACUCAGAACUUUUAAAAUUGGAAUAUUGAAAAGUUCCGAAUUAAAUAAAAGAUUAUAUUUUUGAAAAUUGUGGAUUCUUUUAUAAUAUGCAAACAGUUUUUCAAAAUUCAAAACUGUUAAAAUUGGAAUUUUGAAAAGUUCCGAAUUAAUUAAAAGAAGGCGACAAACAAAUUGAAAUAAUAAAACAGAAAAUCCGAUGUUUUGAAUACAUCAUCAUUUUCAAAAUCUUGAAUGUUUUAUAUUGGAUGAAUAUAUUUUUCGAAAUUGUGAAUUCUUUUACGAUAUCGGAACAGUUCUUUAAAAUCAUGAAAAAAAUUAGUCUGUGAACAUUUUAUGUUUUCCUGAAAGUUUAUUUAAAAUUACCAAACAUUUUAUGAUUUCAUGAUUCAUUUUUCCAAAACUCAAAACCUUUUAAAUACAGAAUUUUGAAAAAUUCUGAAUUAAUUUAUAGAAGAAAAAUAUAUUGAAAUAAGAAACAUUUUAUAUUUUCCAGAAUAUAUUUGUCGAAAUUGUGACUUGUUUUAUAAUAUGCAAACUGUUUUUUGAAAAUCAUAAACAAUUUUGAAUUCCGCAAACAAUUUAUGAUUUCCUGAUCCUUCUUUUGAAUUUCUAGACAUUUUAUGAUUUCCUGAACAUUUUUUCUAUGUUUUGAAUACAUGAUCAUUUUCAAAUCAUGAAUGUUCUAUAUUUUCUGUAUAUAUUUUUGGAAAUUGUGGAUUCUUUUAUAAUAUGCAAACAUUUUUUUCAAAACUCAAAACUUUUAAAAUUGGAAUAUUGAAAAGUUCCGAAUUAAAUAAAAGAAUAUAUUUUUGAAAAUUGUGGAUUCUUUUAUAAUAUGCAAACAGUUUUUCAAAACUUGAAACUUUUAAAAUUGGAAUUUUGAAAAGUUUCAAGUUAAUUAAAAGAAGGCAACAAACAAAUUGAAAUAAUAAAACAGAAAAUCCGAUAAAAAAGGUGUUGUUCAGGAAUCAAACCUGGGAUUCGUGAAUGGUGUAGCUGCACUAAAGCCAAUAAGCCAAGCUAGCUGUUGUUGCUUUCAAAGGUCUCGCCUCGCCAUUUAAGUACUGAUACGGACGGCGACUUUGACAGAUUCCAAAAUCAAAUCGUUUCCUUCAUUUAUGGGUCGCAUAUUGGGUAAUUUAAUACAACAUCAGGGGUACAAAGCGCCUGCUAGAGAAACAAAAAUAAAAAUAGAAAUAAAAAUAAAGUAAAAAUAAAAGUUAAAAUGACCGGAAUAGGAUCGGGGCUUUGAACCCGACGUGAAUCGAACACGCAACCUUCUGAUCUGGAGUCAGACGCGCUACCAUUGCGCCACGGAUCCGGUGUGUUGUUGCUCGCUGACCAAUCUACAAGAGCGACAUUAAUGGUAGAUUAGGGACUUAAGCUACAGAGAAGUACGCUGUAGCUUCAUUAUCAUAUCAUAGAUUAUAGGCUGAAUUUUUUCCAAUUAACAGUUCCUUUGGAGCUUAAAUUAAGGAGCUGGUGCAGCAUGUGGUCGUGGCCUCAUGUGGUUCUCCAGGUUGAUGGAGAGUUUGAGACGUGCCCUGCCAACGACGGCCAGUCUCGCGCUUCCCUCGGCGCCAUCUUUAGUUUGUUCUCCUGCUCCUGCGUGAGGUGCCACGGUUGAGACAUUUCUGGCGCUCCAGAAGGAGAAUGGGCCUUCUCCAGUCCAGAGGUUUGCUGCUGGUUCAGCAAAAAUGGUAGAGAAUGUAUCCAGUCAGCUACUUCCUUUGUCAUGAUACAUUCACAUCCAGGUAAAUCUAAAAUAAAUAAUUUAGUACGAAGAAUAUUAGCCAAGGCGAGAGCACAAUAGUAAGCUUUGCAUGUUGACAUGAGCAAAAAAAACAUCUCUAGCAAACUCCGCAAACGGCCGGCCCGAAAAAAUGGUUUGAGAGAUCCCGCAAAAACAUUUUAUGGGACGACGAGCCCUCUGACGGAACAGUUUCCGUAAACCCGUCCCGUAGAUGUUAUGCAAGACGCGUUUGCGGGAUCUAUUCUGCGUCGGAGGACUCGUUGUUCCGCAAAUACAAUUAUAUGCAAAUAUUAUCAAGUUUAUCAUGACAGGUGCAUCAUUUUCAUAUAUAUACAUUACUAGCUAGUAGAUCAUCAUACUAGUUCAUCACAUCCAAAAUGAUGAGCUUCAUGUAUGCACGAUAAACUAGGCAAAAGAUGCACAAAUCACAUAGAUCAAUCAAGCUCCAUCACCAACAUUGACCGGAGAGCUCGCGCCAUCACCUUCACGAACUUCAACCGGAGAGCUCGCACCACCACCUUUAUGGACUUGGACCGGAGAUUGAGUGUGGCCAUCAUCACCACCAUUGACAUGGCUUGCCGAAGCACCACCACCAUUGUCGAAGACACCACCACCACCAUUGUCGAAGCCACCACCACUACCACCACCAUUGCCGAAGCCACCCUACCACCACCACCNNNNNNNNNNNNNNNNNNNNNNNNNNNNNNNNNNNNNNNNNNNNNNNNNNNNNNNNNNNNNNNNNNNNNNNNNNNNNNNNNNNNNNNNNNNNNNNNNNNNAACUUACCCGAACUCCCGUUUCGUAGNGACCCUCGGGACCCCAGGAACUACAGUGAGAAUAGCAUAGAAAACUGGCCAGAAUGGACCAAUACUGCGAGUUUUGACGAGGUCCCCGGAGUUCGCAGACUGUUUGGAUCUCCCCGGGAACAAAAUUUAGUGAGUAAUAGCAUAGAAAACUAGCCAGAAUGGACCAAAUGUGCGAGUUUUGGCGAGGUCCACGUAACCGAUCCCUGGAGUUCGCGAAACGUUCGGAUCGCCCCGGGAACCAAAAUCAGUGAGUAAUAGCAUAAGAAACUUUCCAGAAUGGACCAAAUCUGCGAGUUUUCAUGAGGUCCCCGUAACCACACAUUGAAGUUCCCCGAACAUCUUUAUUGCCGUGAGUCCAAGAUCAAUGAGAAAUAGCAUAAAAAACUCGACAGAAUGGACAAAAUCUGCGAGUUGUAACGAGGUCCCUAUAAUGGGUCCCCGGAGUUCGUGGAACGUUUGUAGCGCCCGGGGACCCAGAACUAGUGAGUAAUGGCAUAGAAAACUGGCGAGAAUGGACCAAAUCUGUGAGAUUUGACGAGGUCCCCAUAACCGGUCCUCGAAUUUCCCCGAACAUUUGUAGCACCACGGGACCCUGAAUUAGUGAGUAAUCGCAUAGAAAAUUAGGCUAGAAUGGACCAAAUCUGCGAGUUUUGAUAAUGUCCCCAUAACUGGACCCCAAAUUCACCGAACGUUUGGAUCUCUCCACGACCCAAAUUAGUGAGUAAUAGAGUAGAAAACUGGCCACAAUGGACCAAAUUUGCGAGUUUUAGUGAGGUCCCCGUAUACCGUUCCCGAAGUUCCUAGAAUGUUUGCGGUGCCACCGGGGACCCAUAAUAAGUGAGUAAUAGCAUAGUAAACUGGCCAGAAUGGAUCGUACCUACGAGUUUUCACGAGGUCCCCAUAACCGGACCCCGAAGUUCCUCGAACGUUCGUGUCGCCCGGGACCACGAACGUCAAGUGAGUAAUAGCAUAGAAACUGCGAGAAUGGACCAAAUCUGCGAGUUUUGACGANNNNNNNNNNNNNNNNNNNNNNNNNNNNNNNNNNNNNNNNNNNNNNNNNNNNNNNNNNNNNNNNNNNNNNNNNNNNNNNNNNNNNNNNNNNNNNNNNNNNGUAGNGCNCCGACGACCAAGACCAGUGAGUAAUAGCAUAGAAAAAGGCCCAGAAUGGACCAAAUCUGYGAGUUUUGACAAGGUCCCCRUAACUGGUCCCCGAAGUUCGCGGAACAUUUGGAUCGCUCCGGGAACCAAAAUGAGUGAGUAAUCGCAUAGAAAACUGGCUAGAAUAGACCAAAUCUGCGAGUUUUGACAAUGUCCCAAUAACCGGACCGCAAAGUUCCCUGAACGUUCGGAUCUCCCCGGGACCCAAAAUCAAUGAGUAAUAGCAUAGAAAACUGGCCAAAAUAGACCAAAUUUGCGAGUUUUGACGAGGUCCCCGUAACCGGUGCCCGAAGUUCCCCGUAUGUUUGCGGCGCCACGGGACCCAUAAUUAGUGAGUAAUAGCAUAGAAUACUCGCAGAAAGGAUCGAAUCUACGAGUUUUCACGAGGUCCCCUUAACCGGACCCCAAAGUUCCCCGAACGUCGUGUCGCCCCGGGACACAAAUUCAGUGACUAAUAGCAUAGAAAACUGGCCAGAAUGGACCAAAUCUGCGAGUUUUGACGAGGUCCCCGGAGUHCGCMGACUGUUUGGAUCUCCCCGGGGAACAAAAUUUAGUGAGUNNNNNNNNNNNNNNNNNNNNNNNNNNNNNNNNNNNNNNNNNNNNNNNNNNNNNNNNNNNNNNNNNNNNNNNNNNNNNNNNNNNNNNNNNNNNNNNNNNNNGGACCCCAAAGUUCCCCGAACGUCGUGUCGCCCCGGGACACAAAUUCAGUGACUAAUAGCAUAGAAAACUGGCCAGAAUGGACCAAAUCUGCGAGUUUUGACGAGGUCCGUGUAACCGGUCCCCGGAGAUCGCGGAACGUCUGUAGCUCCCGGGGACCCAGAAUCAGUGAGUAAUAGCAAAGAAAACUGGCCAGAAUGAACACAAUCUACGAGUUUUGAUGAGGUCCCCGUAACCGGUCCCCCGAGUUCGCAGAACGUUCGGAUUGGCCCGAAAACCAAAAUCAGUGAGCAAUAGCAUAGAAAACUGGCGAGAAUGGACCAAAUCUGCGAGAUUUGACGAGGUCCCCGUAACCGGUCCCCGAAUUUCCCCGAACGUUUGUAGCACCACGGGACCCUAAAUCAGUGAGUAAUAGCGAAGAAAACUAGACAGAAUGGACCAAAUCUGCGAGUUUUGACAAUAUCCACAUAACCGGACCCCAAAGUUCYCCGAAUGUUCAGAUCUACCCUGAGACCCAAAAUCAGUGAGUAAUAGCAUGAUGAUGUGCCCCAUGAUAUUCAAGCACUUACCCAAGGUUCCGAACCUGCUCAUGAUCAAGAUCAAGUGACAACCACAAGAUCCAGACCAAGNNNNNNNNNNNNNNNNNNNNNNNNNNNNNNNNNNNNNNNNNNNNNNNNNNNNNNNNNNNNNNNNNNNNNNNNNNNNNNNNNNNNNNNNNNNNNNNNNNNNAAUUCGUUGCAUCUUGUAAAACAAGAGCAAUUGAGAAAGAAGUAUGGAUGACAUUUGUAUGUCGUCAUCCAUAGGGGUUGACGGAGGAAGGGAAAUUGCAGAAGCGAUGAUCACAAGUUCUCGAGUGAACAUCAGAGAUUAUCCUCGGAGUCUUCUGACAGAUCAAGUCAUCGUCUGGAAUUGCGGGGCUCUCCGGGUAGAUGUGAUUACGACGACCUAAUGUUAGAGUUAGUAAAACCUUUAACCCGAAAGAGAAGAGAGAGUAGAGCCCAGAGUAUAGAAAAGGAGUAAAAGAUACUAAUACCACCCAAUUGAGAUGUGGGCCCAUAAGACACAACAUCAGUGUUAGUAAAGUUUUUCAAACACUAGACUCAACUUCGGCCAAGGAGUUGGAAAAGGGGGCUACCUACAGGCAGUUGGCUCUGACACCAACUUGUGACGCCCUCGGUUUAACCGUACGCUAAUCAUACACGGAAAUGCAUACGAUCAAACCCAGGACUCACGGGAAGAUAUCACAACANNNNNNNNNNNNNNNNNNNNNNNNNNNNNNNNNNNNNNNNNNNNNNNNNNNNNNNNNNNNNNNNNNNNNNNNNNNNNNNNNNNNNNNNNNNNNNNNNNNNCAAGGUGCGGGAGACGUCACCGGGCUGCACGUGUGUUGAACGCGGAGGUGCCGUAGUUCGGCACUAGAUCGGAAUCACACCGCGAUCUGAAUCGCCGCGAGUACGACUCCAUCAAUCGCGUUCUAGCAAUGCUUCCGCUUAGCGAUCUUCAAAGGUAUGAAUAUGCACUCACCCCUCUCUCGUUGCUGGUCUCUCCAUAGGAAGAUCUGAAUAUGGUGUAGGAAAGUUUUGAACUUAUGCUACGUUACCCAACAGUGGUAUCGGAGCCAAGUUUUCUAUGCGUUAGAUUCUAUGCACGAGUAGAACACAAAAAGGUUAUGGGGCGAUGAUUUGUCAAUUGCUUGCCGCUACUAGUCUUAUUCUUUUCAGGCGGUAUUGUGGGAUGAAGCGCCCCGGACCGACAUUACACGUACGCUUACGUGAGACUGGUUCCACCGACAUACAUGCACACCGUGCAUAAAGGUGCUAGCGGGUGUCUGUCUCUCCUACUCCACGUCGGUANNNNNNNNNNNNNNNNNNNNNNNNNNNNNNNNNNNNNNNNNNNNNNNNNNNNNNNNNNNNNNNNNNNNNNNNNNNNNNNNNNNNNNNNNNNNNNNNNNNNUAUCACAUCACAUCUUUGGCCAUAUCACAUCACAAGCAUACCCUGCAAAAACAAGUUAGACGUCCUCUAAUUUUGUUGUUUGCAUGUUUUACGUGGUGACCAUGGGUAUCUAGUAGGAUCACAUCUUACUUACGCAAACACCACAACGGAGAUAUAUGAAUUGCUAUUUAACCUUAUACAAGGACCUCCUCGGUCAAAUCCGAUUCAACUAAAGUUGGAGAAACCGACACUUGUCAGUCAUCUUUGAGCAAAGGGGGUUACUCGUAGCGAUGAAACCAGUCUCUCGUAAGCGUAUGAGUAAUGUCGGUCCAAGCCGCUUCAAUCCAACAAUACCGCGGAAUCAAGAAAAGACUAAGAGGGCAGAAAAACGCACAUCACCGCCCACAAAAACCUUUUGUGUUCUACUCGAGAAGACAUCUACGCAUGAACCUAGCUCAUGAUGCCACUGUUGGGGAACGUCGCAUGGGAAACAAAAAUUUUCCUACGCGCACGAAGACCUAUCAUGGUGAUGUCCAUCUACGAGAGGGGAUGAGUGAUCUACGUACCCUUGUAGACCGUACAGCAGAAGCGUUAGAGAACGCGGUUGAUGUAGUGGAGCGUCCUCACGUCCCUCGAUUCGCCCCGCGAACAAUCCCGCGAUCAGUCGCACGAUCUAGUACCGAACGGACGGCACCUCCGCGUUCAGCACACGUACACCUCGACGAUGAUCUCGGCCUUCUUGAUCCAGCAAGNNNNNNNNNNNNNNNNNNNNNNNNNNNNNNNNNNNNNNNNNNNNNNNNNNNNNNNNNNNNNNNNNNNNNNNNNNNNNNNNNNNNNNNNNNNNNNNNNNNNCAAUAUAUCACAUCAUGUAUUUGGCCAUAUCACAUCACAUGCAUACCCUGCAAAAACAAGUUAGACAUCCUCUAAGUUGUUGUUGCAUGUUUUACGUGACUGCUAUGGGUAUCUAGUAUGAUCGCAUCUUACUUAUGCCAAGCCACAACGGUGAUAUGCAAAUUGCUAUUUAACCUUCUCCAAGGACCGCCUUGUUUAAAAUCCGAUUCAACUAAAGUUGAAGAAACGGACAACCGCCAGUCAUCUUUAUGCAACAAGUUGCAUGUUAGUCGAUGAAACCGGUCUCUCGUAAGCGUACGAGAUAGGUUGGUCCGGGCCGCUUCAAUCCAACAAUACCGCCGAAUCGAUAAAAUAAUAAGGAGGGAAGCAAAUCGAACAUCAACGACCACAAAAAAUUUGUUACUCUACUUGAGAUUUCAUCUACGCAUGAACCUAGCUCAUGAUGCCACUGUUGGGAACGUUGCAUGAGAAACAAAAAAAUUACCUACGACACACGAAGACCUNNNNNNNNNNNNNNNNNNNNNNNNNNNNNNNNNNNNNNNNNNNNNNNNNNNNNNNNNNNNNNNNNNNNNNNNNNNNNNNNNNNNNNNNNNNNNNNNNNNNAUGAUUCAUGAUCGAUCUUCGGUCUCAUGNGUUUCGAGGCCAUGUCUGCACAUGCUAGGCUCGUCAAGNUUAACCCGAGUGUUCCGCGUGCGCAACUGUUUUGCACCCGUUGUAUGUGAACGUUGAGUCUAUCACACCCGAUCAUCACGUGGUGUCUCGAAACGACGAACUGUAGCAACGGUGCACAGUCGGGGAGAACACAAUUUCGUCUUGAAAUUUUAGUGAGAGAUCACCUCAUAAUGCUACCGUCGUUCUAAGCAAAAUAAGGUGCAUAAAAGGAUUAACAUCACAUGCAAUUCAUAAGUGACAUGAUACGGCCAUCAUCACGUGCUUCUUGAUCUCCAUCACCAAAGACCGGCACGGAUCUUCUUGUCACCGGCGCCACACCAUGAUCAUCCAUCAACGUGUUGCCAUCGGGGUUGUCGUGCUACUAUGUAUUACACUAAAGCUAAUCUGCAAAAUAGAAACGCAUCUGCAAGCACAAAGUUAGUAUAAAGACAACCCUAUGGCUCCUCCGGUUGCCGUACCAUCGACAUUUAGUGAAAUAUGUGGGGAGGACAUUUUGUAAAGCAAUCAUAUUGUCAAAGUGACAAAAUGCAGGCUUUAAUAGUAGUGGUGAUGAUCUGCAAAGCGGUAGAUCUACACACUACCUUGUGAUUCUCAAAAUAUCAAUUUGAAAAACAACACUAAGAAUUUGGAUAUCAAUUCUUNNNNNNNNNNNNNNNNNNNNNNNNNNNNNNNNNNNNNNNNNNNNNNNNNNNNNNNNNNNNNNNNNNNNNNNNNNNNNNNNNNNNNNNNNNNNNNNNNNNNUCUGGCCCAUUUUCUAUGCUAUUACUCACUGGUUUUGGGUCCUAGUGCGCUACAAACGUUCCACGAACUCCGGGGACCGGUUAUGGGGACCUCGUCGCAACUCGCAGAUUUUGUCCAUUUUGUCCAAUUUACUAUGCUAUUACUCACUGAUCUUGGACCCAAGGCGAUACGAAUGUUCGAGGAACUUCACGGUCUGGUUACUGGGACCUCGUGAAAACUCGCAGAUUUGGUCCAUUCUUACCAGUUUUCUAUGCUAUUACUCACUGAUUCAGGGUCCCCUGGUAAGACAAACGUUCAUGGAAAUUCGGGGACCGGCUACGGGGACCUCGCAAAUCUCGCAUAUUUGGUCCAUUCUAGCCAAUUUUCUAUGCUAUUACUCACUGGUUCUGGUUCCUGGGGUGCUACAAACGUUCCGCGAACUCCGGGGACCGGUUACGGGGACCUCGUCAAAACUCGCAGAUUUGGUCCAUUCUCGCAAGUUUUCUAUGCUAUUACUCACUGAUUUCUGGUCCCGGGCGACACGAACGUUCGAGGAACUUCGGGGUCCGGUUAUGGGGACCUCGUGAAAACUCGUAGGUACGAUCCAUUCUGGCCAGUUUACUAUGCUAUUACUCACUUAUUAUGGGUCCCGUGGCANNNNNNNNNNGAACGUUCAUGGAAAUUCGGGGACCAGCUACGGGGACCUCACAAAUCUCGCAUAUUUGGUCCAUUCUGGCCAAUUUUCUAUGCUACUGCUCACUGGUUCUGGUUCCGAGGGUGCUACAAACGUUCCGCGAACUCCGGGGACCUCGUCAAAACUCGCAGAUUUGGUUCAUUCUCGCGAGUUUUCUAUGCUAUUACUCACUGAUUUCUGGUCCCGGGCGACACGAACGUUCGGGGAACUUCGGGGUCCGAUUAUGGGGACCUCGUGAAAACUCGCAGGUUCGAUCCAUUCUCGCUAGUUUACUAUGCUAUUACUCACUAACUAUGGGUCCCGUGGCACCGCAAACAUUCUAGGAACUUCGGGGAACGGAUACGGGGACCUCACUAAAACUCGCAAAUUUGGUCCAUUGUGGCCAGUUUUCUACUCUAUUACUCACUAAUUUUGGGUCGUGGAGAGAUCCAAACGUUCGGUGAAUUUGGGGUCCAGUUAUGGGGACAUUAUCAAAACUCACAGAUUUGGUCCAUUCUUGCCAANNNNNNNNNNGCUAUUACUCACUAAUUUUGGGUCAUGGGGAGAUCCGAACGUUCGGUGAAUUUGGGGCCCGGUUAUGGGGACAUUAUCAAAACUCGCAGAUUUGGUCCAUUCUAGCCAAUUUUCUAUGCGAUUACUCACUAAUUCAGGGUCCCGUGGUGCUACAAAUGUUCGGGGAAAUUCGAGGACCGGUUAUGGGGACCUCGUCAAAUCUCACACAUUUGGUCCAUUCUCGCCAGUUUUCUAUGCCAUUACUCACUAGUUCUGGGUCCCCGGGCGCUACAAACGUUCCACGAACUCCGGGGACCCAUUAUAGGGACCUCGUUACAACUCGCAGAUUUUGUCCAUUCUGUCGAGUUUUUUAUGCUAUUUCUCAUUGAUCUUGGCCUCAGGGCAAUACAGAUGUUCGGGGAACUUCAAUGUGUGGUUAUGGGGACCUCAUGAAAACUCGCAGAUUUGGUCCAUUCUGGAAAGUUUUCNNNNNNNNNNGAUGUUCGGGGAAAUUCGAGGACCGGUUACGGGGACCUCGUCAAAUCUCACAGAUUUGGUCCAUUCUNNNNNNNNNNACUCACGGCAAUAAAGAUGUUCGGGGAACUUCAAUGUGUGGUUACGGGGACCUCAUGAAAACUCGCAGAUUUGGUCCAUUCUGGAAAGUUUUCUAUGCUAUUACUCACUGAUUUUGGUUCCCGGGGCGAUCCGAACGUUUCGCGAACUCCAGGGAUCGGUUACGUGGACCUCGCCAAAACUCGCACAUUUGGUCCAUUCUGGCUAGUUUUCUAUGCUAUUACUCACUAAAUUUUGUUCCCGGGGAGAUCCAAACAGUCUGCGAACUCCGGGGACCUCGUCAAAACUCGCAGUAUUGGUCCAUUCUGGCUAGUUUUCUAUGCUAUUACUCACUGAUUCAGGGUCCCGUGGUGCUACAAACAUUCGGGGAAAUUCGGGGACCGGUUAUGGAGACCUCGUCAAAUCUCGCAGAUUUGGUCCAUUCUCGCCAGUUUUCUAUGCUAUUACUCACUGAUUCUCGUUCCCGGGGCGCUACAAAUGUUCCGUGAACUCCGGGGACCGGUUACGNNNNNNNNNNUGGGGACCUCGUCAAAUCUCGCAGAUUUGGUCCAUUCUCGCCAGCUUUCUAUGCUAUUACUCAGUGGUUCUGGUUCCCGGGGCGCUACAAAUGUUCCGUGAACUCCGGGGACCGGUUACGCGGACUUUGCCAAAACUCAUAGAUUUUGUCCAUUAUGGCCAGUUUUCUAUGCUUUUACUCACUAAUUGUGGGUCCCCGGGCGCUACAAACAUUCCGCGAACUCCGGGGACCGGUUACGGGGACCUCGUCAAAACACACACAUUUGGUCCAUUCUGGCCAGUUUUCUAUGCUUUUACUCACUGAUUUUGGGUCUCGGGGAGAUCUGAACGUUCGGGGAUCUUUGGGGUCCGGUUAUGUGGAUAUUGUCAAAACUCACAGAUUUGGUCCAUUCUGUCUAGUUUUCUUCGCUAUUACUCACUGAUUCAGGGUCCCGUGGUGCUANNNNNNNNNNNNNNNNNNNNNNNNNNNNNNNNNNNNNNNNNNNNNNNNNNNNNNNNNNNNNNNNNNNNNNNNNNNNNNNNNNNNNNNNNNNNNNNNNNNNCGAGUUGCGACGAGGUCCCCAUAACCGGUCCCCGGAGUUCAUGGAACGUUUGUAGUGCACUAGGACCCAAAACCAGUGAGUAAUAGCAUAGAAAAUGGGCCAGAAUAGACCAAAUCUGUGAGUUUUGACAAGGUCCCCAUAACUGGUCCCCGAAGUUCGGAUUGGCCCAGAAACCAAAAUCAGUGAGCAAUAGCAUAGAAAACUAGUGAGAAUGGACCAAAUCUGCGAGAUUUGACGAGGUCCCCGUAACCGGUCCCCGAAUUUCCCCGAAAUUUUAUAGCACCACGGGACCCUGAAUCAGUGAGUAAUAGCGAAGAAAACUAGANNNNNNNNNNGAACCAGUGAGUAAUAGCACAGAAAAUGGGCCAGAAUGGACCAAAUCUGCGAGUUUUGACAAGGUCCCCGUAACUGGUCCCCGAAGUUCGCGGAACAUUUGGAUCGCUCCGGGAACCAAAAUGAGUGAGUAAUCGCAUAGAAAACUGGCUAGAAUAGACCAAAUCUGCGAGUUUUGACAAUGUCCCAAUAACCGGACCCCAAAGUUCCCUGAACGUUCGGAUCUCCCCGGGACCCAAAAUCAAUGAGUAAUAGCAUAGAAAACUGGCCAAAAUAGACCAAAUUUGCGAGUUUUGACGAGGUCCCCGNNNNNNNNNNCUUCCCCAAACGUUCGGAUCUCCCCGGGACCCAAAAUCAAUGAGUAAUAGCAUACAAAACUGGCCAAAAUAGACCAAAUUUGCGAGUUUUGACGAGGUCCCCGUAACCGGUGCCCGAAGUUCCCCGUAUGUUUGCGGCGCCACGGGACCCAUAAUUAGUGAGUAAUAGCAUAGAAUACUCGCAGAAAGGAUCGAAUCUACGAGUUUUCACGAGGUCCCCUUAACCGGACCCCAAAGUUCCCCGAACGUCGUGUCGCCCCGGGACACAAAUUCAGUGACUAAUAGCAUAGAAAACUGGCCAGAAUGGACCAAAUCUGCGAGUUUUGACGAGGUCCGUGUAACCGGUCCCCGGAGAUCGCGGAACGUCUGUAGCUCCCGGGUACCCAGAAUCAGUGAGUAAUAGCAAAGAAAACUGGCCAGAAUGAACACAAUCUACGAGUUUUGAUGAGGUCCCCGUAACCGGUCCCCCGAGUUCGCAGAACGUUCGGAUUGGCCCGAAAACCAAAAUCAGUGAGCAAUAGCAUAGAAAACUGGCGAGAAUGGACCAAAUCUGCGAGAUUUGAUGAGGUCCCCGUAACCGGUCCCCGAAUUUCCUCGAACGUUUGUAGCACCACGGGACCCUGAAUCAGUGAGUAAUAGCGAAGAAAACUAGACAGAAUGGACCAAAACUGCGAGUUUUGACAAUAUCCCCAUAACCGGACCCCAAAGUUCCCCGAACGUUCGUAUCGCCCGGGUCCAAGAUCAAUGAGUAAUAGCAAAGAAAACUGGACAGAAUGGGCAAAAUGUGCGAGUUGUGACGAGGUCCCAAUAACCGGUCCCGGGAAUUCGUGGAACGUUUGUAGCGCCCCGGGACCCAAAAUCAGUGAGUAAUCGCAUAGGAAACUAGCUAGAUGGACCAAAUCUGCGAGUUUUGACAAUGUCCCCAUAAUCGGACCCCAAAGUUCCCCGAACGUUCGGAUCUCCCCGGGACCCAAAAUGAGUGAGUAGUAGCAUAUAAAACUGGCCAGAAUGGACCAAAUUUGCGAGUUUUGACGAGGUCCCCGNNNNNNNNNNACUGGUCCCCGAAGUUCCCCGAAUGUUUGCGGCGUCACGGGACCAUAGUUAGUGUGUAAUAGCACAGAAAACUCGCCAGAAUGGAUCGAAUCUACGAGUUUUCUCGAGGUCCCCCUAACCGACCCCGAAGUUCCCCGAACGUUCGUGUCGCCCCGUGACCCAAAAUUAGUAAGUAAUAGCAUAGAAAACUAGCCAGAAUGUACCAAAUCUGCGUGAUUUGACAAGGUCCUCGUAACCGGUCCCCGGAGUUCGCAGAAUGUUUGUAGCGCCCGGGGACCCAGAAUCAGUGAGUAAUAGCAUAGAAAACUGGACAUAAUGGACAAAAUCUAUGAGUUUUGGUGAAGUCCACGUAACCGGUCCCCGGAGUUUGCGGAACAUUUGUAGCGCCCUGGGAACUAGAACCAGUGAGUAAUAGCAUAGAAAAUUGGCCAGAAUGGACCAAAUCUGCGUGUUUUGAUGAAGUCCUCGUAACCGGUCCCCGAAUUUCCCCGAACGUUUGUAGCACCACGGGACCCUGAAUCAGUGAGUAAUAGCAUAGAAACUAGGCCAGAAUGGACCAAAUCUGUGAGUUUUGACGAGGUCCCCGUAGCCGGUCCCCGACUUUCCCGGACGUUUGUAGCACCAGGGGACCCUGAAUUAGUGAGUAAUAGCAUAGAAAACUCGCCCGAACGGACCAAAUCUGCGAGUUUUGACGAGGUCCCCAUAACCGGUCCCCGGAGUUCGCGGAAUGUUCGGAUCGCCCAGGAACCAAAAUCAGUGAGUAAUAGUAGAGAAAACUGGUCAGAAUGGAGCAGAUCUACGAGUUUUCACGAGGUCUCCGGAGUUCCCCGAAUAUUCGUAUCGCCCCGGGUGCACAAACAAUGAGUAAUAGCAUAGAAAACUGGCCAGAAUGGCAUAAAUUUGCGAUUUUGACGAGUUCCCCGUAACCGGUCCCCGGAGUUCGUGGAACGUUUGUAGCAGCCGGGGACCCAGAAUCAGUGAGUUUGCAUAGUAAACUUGCGAUAAUGGACAAAAUAUGCGAGUUUUGACAAUGUCCCCAUAACCGGACCCCAAAGUUCCGCGAACAUUCGGAUCUUCCCGGGACCCAAAAUUAGUGAGUAAUAGCAUAUAAAACUGACGAGAAUGGACCAAAUUUGCGAGUUUUGACAAGGUCCCCGUAACCGGUCCCCGAAGUUCCCCGAAUGUUUGUGGCACCACGAGACCAAUAAUUAGUGAGUAGUAGCAUAGAAAACUGGCCAGAAUGCAUCAAAUAUACGGGUCUUCAUGAGGUCCCCAUAACGGGACUCCGAAGUUCCCCGAGCUUUCGUGUUGCCCCAGACCCAAAAUCAGUGAGUAAUAGCAUAGAAAACAGGUCAGAAUGGACCAAAUGUGUGAGUUUUUUACGAGGUCCCCGUAACCGGUCCCCUGAGUUCGUGGAAUGUUUGUAGCGCCCGGGAACCCAGAAUCAGUGAGUAAUAGCAUGGAAAAGUGGCCAGGAUGGACAAUUUGUACAAGUUUUGACGAGGUCCCCGUAACCGGUCCCCGAAGUAUGCGAAACGUUCGGAUCGCUCCGGGAACCAAAGUCAAUGACUAAUCGCAUAGAAAAUUAGCUAGAAUGGACUAAAUCUGCGAGUUUUGACCAUGUCCCCAUAACCGGACCCCAAAGUUCCCCGAACGUUUGUAUUCCCCGGGACUCAAAAUCGGUGAGUAAUAGCAUACAAAACUGUCCAGAAUGGACCGAAUUUGCGAGUUUUGACGAGGUCCCCGUAACCGGUCCCCGAAGGUCCCCGGAUGUUUGUGGCGCCACGGGACCCAUAAUUAGUGAGUAAUAGCAUAGAAAAGUGGCCAUCGUGGAUCAAAUCUACGAGUUUCAAGAGGUCCCCAUAACCAGACCCCGAAGAUCCCCGAAUAUUCGUGUCGCCCCGGGACCCAAAAUCAGUGAGUAAUAGCAUAGAAAACUAACCAGAAUGGACCAAAUCUGCGAGUUUUGAUGAGGUCUCCGUAACUGGUCUCCUGAGCUCGUGGAACGUUUGUACUUUGUAGCGCCUCGGGACCCGGAAUGAGUGAGUAAUAGGAUGAAAAACUGGCCAGAAUGGACAAAAUCUAUGAGUUUUGACGAAGUCUGCGUAACCGGUCCCCGGAGUUCGCGGAACGUUCGAAUCGGCCCGGGAACCAAAAUCAGUGAUAUUUGACGAGGUUCCCGUAACCGGUCCCUGCAUUUUCCCGAACGUUUGUACCGCCACGGGACCCUGAAUCAGUGAGUAAUAGCAUAGAAACUGGCCAGAAUGGACCAAAUCUGCGAGUUUUGACGAGGUCCCCGUAAACGGUCCCCGGAGUUUGCGGAAUGUUUGGAUCUCCCCGGGAACCAAAAUCAGUGAGUAAUAGCAUACAAAAUUGGUCAGAAUGGACCAAAUGUGCGAGUUUCGACGAGGUCCCCGUAACCGGCCUCAGAGUUCGUGGAACGUUCGGAUCGCCCCGAGAACCAAAAUCAGUGAGUAAUAGCAUAGAAAACUAGCCAAAAUGGACCAAAUCUGCGACUUUUCACGAGGUCCCCGUAACCGGUCCUCAAAUUUCCCCGAACAUUUGUAGCACCACGGGACCCUGGAUCAGUGAGUAAUAGCAUAGAAAACUAGCCAGAAUGGACAAAAUCUGCGAGUUGUGACGAGGUCCCCGUAACGUGUCCCCGGAGCUCGUGGAACGUUUUUAGCGCCCCUGGACCUAGAACCAGUGAGUAAUAGCAUAGAAAAUUGGUCGGAAUGGACCAAAUCUGCGAGUUUUGAGAUUCGACAUGAUUCACGAAAUUCCAACAAGAUCUAUUCUUCACAUGAUUCGACACAUGAAACAUAACAUCUCAUAUAGAUCCACAUUAAAAACAGAGUCUUCAUGGGCAGUACCAAAACAGGACAUCUUAAGCACUUAUUUGAACUCCAGACUUUUUGUGUGUUCAAAAUGAACCAUUCAAGGCCACAUCAUCAAUUUUCAACAUUUUCUGACUUCAUUUGGUAUUUUUCAUGCUUUAACUGAUUUUUUGGAGCUAAAUGACCCAGAAAUUGAAAAGCACUACAAAUGAACUCUUAAUAGGUUGAAAGUUGGCAUGGUAUCAUCAUUUCACCCACAUAGCAUGUGCUAAAAAGUUGAGAGGGUUGCCGCAAAAACUGGAUGCACUUCGUGUACAAAUCGGACAAUCUCUUUCGAAGUAUGAGGGUUUCAUAGGGAAAACUCAUCUGUUACAAAAGGCAUUUCAUUUUUUCAAACUUAUUUCAUUUUUUCCACAUGGGUGUGUGUAUUAAAAACCAUUACAACAUAUCAUGAAUAUAGAAGUGACCAAAUUUAUAGAAAUUCAUCAUUACAUUAAAGCCAAAGUACAGUAGUGACCAAAAUAAAUACAUAGCGUUUUUACAUAGUUCUCAUUGUUGAACAACAUAUAGCUCUCUAGAGCAUCUAAUUAGAACAUACACUGAAACUAUUAGUUUUAAAUGUAACAACAAAUGCGAUCAUAACCGCAACUAAGGUACAAAUUGAUCCAACGGCAUAAUGAUACCAAGCCUCAGUAUGAAUGGCAUAUUUUCUAAUGUUUCUAAUCUUCAAGCGCAUUGCAUUCAUCUUGAUCUUGUGAUCGUCAUGCACAUCGGCAACAUCCAACUCCAAUAUCAUCUUCUCUUCUUCAACUCUUUGUAAUUUUUCUUUCAAGUAAUUGUUUUCUUUUUGAACCAAAUUUAACUUCUCGACAAGAAUUUGUAUGUCGGUUCGAAUUUCCGGUUCAUAUACCUCCUAGAUUAAAAACAAAUAUGUCACGUUGGUCGGCAUAAUUAUCAUAAACAAUAAAUAAAACAAAUAGUUAUAAAAUAUAAUAUAUACCACAUCCGAAUCAUAGACAGGACGAGGAUCGACGGAGGCGGAUACCAAAACCAUCAUACUAUCUAAUAACAAACAAUAAUAGAAGUAAGAAAAUUACACAAGUAUCUAUCUAAAUCAUACAAGUAAGAACUUUUUUAUUUUAAAAAGAAGAUAAGAAGAAGAUACUAACCACAGUGAUGCCGAUGCCGAGAUGGGCGCGGGCGAUCGACGGUGGUGUGGACGGGGACGGGACACGGACGGACCGCCAAAGCUACACAAAACUAGAGGAAAAUGGAGCUUGGACAAGGAGCUUCGAGAGGAGAAAGCUUAAGUGUGGCUUUAGAAUUUCAUCGAACACCUCAUGUGCAUAGGAGGUGAGCUAGAGCACCACAAAGCUCUCCCACGACCGGUCAAAAAAACAGAGCAGUGCACUGCUCUGCUCGCGGUCGGGUGGUAUAUAUAGGCCAAGAAUUGGUCCCGGUUUGUGGACCGAACCGGGAGUGAAGGACAACAAUUGGUCCCGGUUCCAGCCAAAAACCGGGACCAAAGGGGGCAGACGAACCGGGACCAAUGGCCCACGAGGCUCGGUCGGCGCCCUCGCCUCACGAAACGGGACCUAUGCCCCCAUGGGUCCCGGUUCGUAAGUGAACCGGGACUAAUGGAAUUUCAUCAAGUGGACCAAAGCCCUCUUUUCUACUAGUGUAAAGUAUCCAUUCCAAGUUGUCUACGUACCACAUAAUGUUUCCAAGUAGUCCAUAUGCGAGGACGCGGCUAUUCAAAUAGGUUAAUUUAGCCAGCAGGGGUAUACUUCUUCACACACGCUCUCUCCACUUAUCACCAUAUGCACGUCACGCAUCUCGGCAACCUUCAAGCGGAAGCACCGGCGUGGGUGUCGGCCACGACCGUUAACCACACAAGAGCCUAGUCCACGUUUAUCGCCUAUUUGAGACUGGACCCGCAAGGAAGUCCGACCAAAGUUUCCUCAAAUGCCUCAAACGAUGUGCACAGGGUUCCACAAGCCCACCAUCCGGGUGCCACUUGGUACACCAUGCCACUGUGUAUCUACCGCACUGAAGCCUACUCCGUCAAGCAGAGCUAAACACAGUCGCCAACACUUUUCCUACAAACACCAGAAACUAGUUGCAACUCCUGGACAGAGAUCUAGGUGAUUAAUAAGCCGAGAGGGGUUGAGUUAUCGGAGCCAAGUGUGUGGUAGUACCUUGUCUUGGAUAACAUACACAGAACUCAGUUCUUAAGGACGGUCCCAAUGAGACAACUCGCCAUGUACUCCUACAUGGCCUCUCAUCGCUACCUUUACCAAAUCGGAUUCACACAUUUUACUCUCACACAGUAGGGCAUGAACACAAACAUUAUGAUUCAUCAUCCAGAUGGACCAGAACCGACACAACUCUAAGCAUAGUAAGCAAGGAUGGAUGAGUAGGCACAUCAAGGCUCAAGAAGUUGCUACUCAUGCUAAGUGGUUUCAACUAUUUAUUGUGGCAAAAACAUGUCAUGCAAAGGAAUGGUUAAACUACCGAGACAUGUAAGAGAUGAAUCGUUGUUAUCCUAAUGAAGUAAAAGAGAGCAGGAGCGAGAGAGAGUGUUAAUAUCAGUAUGAUCAAGGGGGUUUGCUUGCCUGACAGUUCUGGGGAUACUACUUCUCUUCAUUAGUGUCAACAGUCGCAUCGUCGGAACCAUCGUCUACCGAGAAAGGCAAACAGAAAAAGAACAACAUUUACUUCACGAAAAUGCAACACUAUGAUGCAUGAUCAUGACAUGGCAAUAUGCUGGUGAUUGAGCUAAUGCAUCUAGCAACAAUAUUAAACGAAGGUGGUUUGAACCAAGGUUCAAAGUCAAACUUCAUAUGUGGUUAUUUAAAUGACAUUUAAUUCAAUUGUCCAAAACAGGGGACAUAAAUUGUUCUAACAUGCAUGAAAAUGCCAUAAAAAUAUUCCUUGCAAUUUUCUGAUAAAUUUCAUUUAUAAUUUAUUUUCUAUGAUUUUUUAAAGUUCUUAGCAUUUUCAGGAUUUUCCUAAACAUUUAAAUACCAGAAAAGCUUUACUGCGUCAGCAUUGCAUCACGGUGAUGUCAUCUGGUAAACUGACUCGGUCCUGGUCAAAACUAGCAUUGGGAGCCGCACGUGAGUGACACUGUGGCUAAAAGGGAUUAAUUAAACCUAACUAAAUAUUAUUAAUGGCCCGCACCCACUGGCAGUUACAUAUGGAUUAAAUUAGGGGUGAUUAGACCUUAAUCUACUCUUUGACAAACCGGGCCCACAUGGCAGCGGCUCAGGCGAGCGAGGUCGACGUCGGCGACCAACAGGGCGACGAAGGCACGCCGGAAUCACAGCCUCGGUGUCCAUUCGACGUGUGGACGGGCGAAAUGGGAUCAAGGGGGCUGCAGUGCUUCUGUUGGUGCGAGGUGGGUGGCCAGAGGGGCACCUGACGUACGCUUGCGACGAGCCUAUGCGGCGGCAGAAUUCGGCCGUGGUGGAAAUCACGGCUAGAGCUCGAGCGGGGCAACGGGGUUAGGGGAGGAGCAAGGGGAUAUCACAGAGAGGAGGAUGAGCUGGUCAGAGGGCUCGAGGACGACCGGGACGGAGCGAAUCGACGCCGGGGAGGUUCGGUGGCCGGAGGUUGAAGACGAAUCGGGGAUGGCCUCCUGCAGCGUCGGGCUUCGUGUGUCUUGCUGGAGAGCUUGAGGGGGACGAUACUGAGCUAGUGGGAAGCACAGGGGCGCGAGGGAGCGGCUGAGGGCACGAUACUACGACUGCCGCUCCCGCGAGGUUCGGCCAUGGAGGGGCGAGGGCGCUAGAGAACGGGAAGACUACAGGGAGAGAGGGGAAAGGCAGAGGAGGAGGAGAGCUUCUCCAUGGCGCUUUGGAAGGGCACGGGGAUGCUCUCGAAGCGACCAGCACGAGGUGGUUGCGCCUCCUCUGCGUGCCCCACGCCCUCGUGCCUACUCGCACGAGGUUGAAGAAGGCGGCAUGGGCCUCGUGGGCUGGGAUUUCCACUUGGGCCGGCUACAGGUAAGCUCAGGUAGGCUUUCUACCUUUUUUUAUUUCUGCUUGUUUUCUUUGCUUUAUUUAUUUUGCCUCUGAUUCAAAUUUAAAAUAAUUUUAAAACAUGGCAAAACCCUCUGAAUAUUUUUAUGUAGCUUUAAUGGAUAUUUCCAAAGGCUCAUAAAAUAUUUCAUAGUAUUUUGAAUUUAUAUUCUACCUAUAAGAAUAUAGAUCCAACUCAAAUACAAUAUAAUUUAAUUCAAAUGCCCAAAAUAUUUCCUUCAAAUUGUUCCUAAAUUUUGGUUUGAAUUCUAGUCCUUCCCAAAAUUCUCAAAGCAAAUAAAGGAAAAUUUUGGAACCAAUGAAUAUGAUUUCUAGGGUGCUUUGCCCUUCCUUUAUUUUGAAAUUUUGAGGCUUAUAAAAAUUCUCAAUUCAGGUUUCAUGAAAAUUUUAUCAUGAUGCAAUCAAUGUUGAUGCGACUAUUUUACAAGCAAAUAUAGGGAUGUGACAUCUCACCCCCACUAAACAAGAAUCUCGUCCCGAGAUUCACGCGUAGGGUAAGAGGGAAAAGGGACACUAAACUAUCACAAUCUUCAUGAUCCAAUUGCUCUUCUUGAAGAUGUUGAUUCAUUGCAUCAAGUUGAUAUUGAUAUCUUUGCCUUGAGGCCUUCAUCCAACACGAUGACAAAAAGAAAAUGAAAACUCUACAAGAUUCGAUCUCCUUGAAGAUCGAGCAACUCCUAAUCAACUCAUCGAAUGAGACGUAUAAACAUCUCUUGAGCUGAGACACAAAACACAUAAUAGGAAUGAGGAAAUGAGGCAUAUGAUAGAGGUUCAAUUGGUAGGCAACAAUUACACUCUUAAAAUAGAUGGUGACGAGGUUUCAAAGUAGUGAGGAGUUAAAUUGCCCUUCAUACCAUAACGGGGCACCUUAGAAAGGUGACUCGUAGAGUUAUUUCCUUAAGUGGCAAAAAGAAUUACUUUUGAUCCAGAGAUCAUUAAAACUCUUCAUACCAGGGUGAGGCAAUUCACAAAUGGUCGUUUGAAGGGGUUCAGAGAAAUGGCAUACUCGGCUUGGAAAAGAAAACUAGAGUUAUAGAACAACUUGGCAAACGGAAGACACAUUCCAAUUGUUACCGAGAAUAUAACCCAGUGUCUGAGCGUUGUUUCAUUAGAAUUCACUCGGUCUAUUAUGGAAUAAGAGAGUUGUUUCAUCUUUGUUCUAUAGAAACAUAAAAAUGAAUAGGAAGUAAAAUGAUUCAACUUUUCUUUAUGUUUUCGUAAAUAUAUUUAUUUCUAUUAUUAAAGGGGAUCUGCCGUCGUGAUGGUUCGACCUCCCCUCCCACCCUCCAUGGCAGGCGCUAGAAAAAUCAUCCGAUCCCGCACGCACAGAGAAACCCCAAAAAAACAUCCCACGCUCCCACACAUUGUCGCUAAAAAAGAAGAGAAUAAACUGCCACCCCGCCUCUCCCAGAUCCACCGAUCCUCGUUGCCCGCACAGACACCGCUAAACUGCCAUCACCUCUUCCCGAUCCAUUGCUCCCAAUCUCGUCUCUCUCCUGCCAAAUAUUGUCGUCACCAGAUAGAGGAAAGAGCGCAACGGAGGCACCGAGGAUGAGGGGGCGUCUCUCGCUCGUUUCUGCUCACGAGGAUCAUGCCAACCGUCACCCCCACCGAUGUCGCCGCCGUGGCGGACGAGGCGAGCCCCAAGCUGCGGGACACCGCGGCGGACGCACGCUGGCACAACUCAAAAAAGCAAGUACAUGACAAUUAGGUAAAAUUGUAAAUUGUUGUGCAUGUAUGACAGUGUCAUUGUCAAAUAAGGCCGGUGGGAGGAUUUGUAAAUCGAUUUCAUAGUCUUGUUAUAGGUUGGAAUUAGGUUAUGUAAACAUUUUGCACAACAGCUUCUGUCCAGAAGAAGUUUUUUCUGUGCUGGCUUGUUGUCCCAUUUUUAUUCUAGGCAACAUUAGCACAAGUAGCUUAUUUUCGUAUGUGGUUUUAAAUUUUCUUUCAUUGUUCCCAAUUCUCCUUUCGCUAGGAUGGAAGUUCAUGUAAUCUUCAGUAUAGCAAUAUUAUGAAUGGGAGUUCCCGGUGUGCAAUGGCAGUGAUGUCACCCGUUCUCGUUUGAAAAGUAGAUAUUGUAAUAAUAUAGAACCAAGUAUCAUAUUAUAGUUAUUUGUGGCUAUUUUUUCCAAUGUUCAAAAGUAUCUUUGAGGAAGAAUAUUCAUUUGGAUUUAGAUCCAUACAAAGAAGGGGGUGGGAAGAAAGGGAGGAGGUUAUGGUGCCUUAACUUCUUGUUUUAUAGGGCCAAAGAGAUAUAAUGUUUAAAAUAAUAGCUUGGGUGCCAAUAAAUCAACGAUAAAUACAUAUUCUAUGUUCUAGAAUAAAAUGAUUAUUAUUUACUUGUUUAGUAUGUAUCAAUGUGCCCUCUAUGAUAGUAGCGGUGGAUGUGAAAAAAGUUCGACAAUAUCAGUUGAUGUGUAUAAUGAUUCAGAAAAACAUAUAGAUGUUAAACCACUAUAAUAUUUAUGCCCGGUAGCAACACACUGGCAACUAACUAGUUUAGGUAAUAACUAAAUGGACCAUCGUUGGGUGUUGCCUCCUUCUGGAUGUACGAAUCUAAAUGCCUCUAAAUGUUGAUGGAAGCUAUGUUCCUGCUGACGGAUCAGUGGGAGGAGGUAUGGUGCUAAGUUCUGACCGAGGUGAAAUUAUUUUCACAACGAGAUUCACACAUGCGACAAUAGCCUCCAUGCUGAGUCUGUUGCUUGCAAGGAGGGACUUGAGCUCGCGCUGCACCGCACUAUGCUGCCCAUUGCGGUUGAGAUGGACAACGCUGAAGCCGCCGGGAUGGAAUGCCACUUCGGUGGACUUGUUGAGGAGAUCAAGAGGAUGGUCGCUCCCGGCCCUAGGGAGAUUUCUAUUAUCGCUAUUAGUCGCUCGUAAAAUAAAGUUAAUCAUGAGCUUGCUGCAUAUGAUCAAAGUACUCCUCGUACUGCAGUUUGAUUGCGCUCGGGUUUGAGCAACAUUAUUGUAAUGGCACUAGCUGAUUUGCCUCCUUAAAUUAAAUUAAUAGAAGGGAGUGCCUAGAACUCAUGUAGAUGAGUUAUAGUUUGGUCUCAUUCACCUGACAUCAUUUGACAUCAUCUUUGUUGUUAUAGCUUCGUUUUUAUUGAAUGAGCCAUGUCUAAAAUUGCUCUUUCUUUCCUUGGCCUGGCCCAUUUUAGUUGUGUCCCUAUUAGUUGUUGUAAAAAUAACAUAACAAAAAGACACGCAUACUCUUCUACAAAGCGCAUCCACAUAUAUGCACCGGUCAAAUGCCCAUCACACGUACGUACACACAUACAUCAGGGCAAUAUACAUGCAUGCACAUGCACGCUCACGCGACUGGCCGGCCAGUGCACAGUUGCACAAUGGGCACAUGCAAACAGGAUACAUAUCAUGUAUAUUUGUCACUACUGUGGGUACAUGCAAAGAUAAUUGCAUCAAUCACUUUGUUAAUAUUUUAUCAGUCACAUCAGAUUUAAAAAAUUGCGGUUGCGACGUGACCAUGAAAAAGUGCAGUUGCGAUCAGAUUCUACAAACAUGCGGUUGCGACCCGACCAUGAAAAUAUGCAAUUGUGAUGACAUUUAAAAAUUUGCAGUUGCGACCCGAGAUUGGAAACAUGCAAUUACGACCCUACCAUGAAAACUUGCAGUUGCGACGGUAUUUGAAAACUCGCACACGUGACCCGGCAUUGAAAACAUGCAGUUGCGGUGACAUUUAAAAACUGGCAAUUGUGACAUGACCAUGCAAAAAUGCAGUUGCGACCAGAUGCUACAAACAUGCGGUUGCAAUCUGACCAUGAAAACAUGCAGUUGCGACGACAUUUAAAAAUUUGCAGUUGCGACCCGACGUUGAAAACAUGCAGUUGCGGUGACAUUUGAAAACUGGCAAUUGUGACAUGACCAUGCAAAAAUGCAGUUGCGACCAAAUCCUGCAAACAUGCGGUUGCGACCCGACCAUGAAAACAUGCAGUUGCAACGACAUUUAAAAAUUUGCAGUUGCGACCCGGCGUUGAAAACAUGUAGUUGCGAUGACAUUUGAAAACUGUGACGUGACCAUGCAAAAAUGCAGUUGCGACCAGAUCCUGCAAACAUGCAGUUGCGACCCGACCAUGAAAAGAUGCAGUUGCAACGACAUUUAAAAAUUUGCAGUUGCGACCCGACAUUGGAAAGAUGCAAUUACGACCCUAUCAUGAAAACUUGUAGUUGCGACGACGUUCGAAAACUUGCAGUUGUGAUGAAAACAUGUAGUUGGGACGACAUUUUAAAACUUGCAAUUGCGACCCGACGUUGAAAACAUGAAGUUACGACCAAACCUUACAAACAUGCAGUUGCGAAGUGACUUUAAAAAUAUGCAGUUGCGAUAACAUUUAGAAACAUGCAGUUGCACCCUUUGAAAGCAUCCACUUGUGAUUGUGACUCCAUGUAAAAAAAUAGAGUUGGGACCCCUUUGAAUAUAUGCACUUGUAGGCCCCCUUUUUCUUAUAAACGUACAACUAUGACCCCUUGCGAAACUGUAAUGUGUGUAGUUGCACGAUCUCUCCUUAAUACAUGUUUUUGGACGAUGAAAAACACAAAACUGUAAGCAUGGACAAAAAAAUCCAUAAUAAUUAUUUUACCAAAAAAUUAUCUACAAAAUUCAAACAAUGAAAAAGCACCUACCAAAAAUUAGAACAUCUACACAUGAAAAAGGAAUAAAAAAUAAUAAAUAAGACCUGAUGCAUCAAACCAUGACAAUGCUAGCCUAAAAAAAUUGAAAAAAAGAGAAGAAAUAACUUUUUUUUGAACAAAACAUAAGAAAUAACAAGGAUAGUUUGAAUAAAAAAAGAAAAAGAAAAGGUCCACCAAACCAGGGGCUGCCGCAUACACACAGUAUAAGUUAGAGGGGUGGUUGCCUGAUCAAUAGAGAGCGGCAUAGUCUUUUCGUAUGCGGCAAAAUGCAGAUUGACCAGAAAAGGCCCAUAUGCCCAUAACCCAACAACAUAGUCUUUUCGUAUGCGGCAAAGUUCAAUUACGUUUUAGAAGAAUGAAGUAAAAGAAUUGAAUGAAAGGAUCCCCCGAUCCAUCUUUUUAUUAAUGAAGCAAAGUAGUCUCCGAUUACAGCCAAAGCAACCACUAGUUCCAAACAGACUUAAACUAAAAACACAGAAUGAACCGACUCCAGUCACAGAUAAUAGCAGCAACCUAUUACAGACCGGGUACUUCUAGAACAAACUGUGGCUACUACUCUACGUCAGGCUACAGAGUCACCCAGGCGAUGCGAAGAAGCUCCCCUCAGCACUUGUCCAGCUUACUGAUGAACUGCCGAAGAACCACGUCAUGUGUGAUGUCGUAGAGUACACUCCAUUAUUGAAGAAAACUUUAAAGUUUCGCAAGCACACGCAGUCUAGACUUUUCCAAAAAUGACCCUGAAAAUAAAACUCAUUUCUUAGUCUUCAAAUACUGCACAAGAAGGCAGCAGCAAUCAUAUUCUGGACCGGUUUUUUUUAUGAAUCUGCCAUAAGGGUACAAACAUAUUUAAAGCAUGAAUUAAUUGGCAUUUGAAACAAUCAGCAAAUAAUUUCCAAAUGCACUUAGCCACCACACAAUCAAAAAACAGAUGUUGUACAGGUUCCAUCUCACUACAAAAUAAGCAAGUAUGAUCAUGAACAGAAUGAAGUAAAAUUAUUUCCUAACGGCGACAUUUUCCUUGUUAUAUAGGAGCUCAGCUUGGGCUGGAAUAUGGAUCGAUCUCGCGAGCAGUAAUCAGCCUAAUUAUAGCAAUUUGUGUACACUCUUUAUAUAAUCUGAUCUGAAAAAGGUGAUCUAGAGGAAAAGGGCAUGGAAAACGCUGUCCACUUCAAAGCCGGACGUCGGGACGUGAACACGUCAGAGCAGAGGCAUGAAACCAGCCAUAUUCAGCACGGACGCGUGAAGCUUGCAUGCAUGCAAUGCUUUCCAAUUUCCAGCUCCGUCGAUCAAUGUUCGCUCUAGACGGCUGCUACAUAUACCCCGUACUGCUCGUCCCAUAGCUCAUCAAGCAGCUCGAUCGACCGCACCACUACCGUAGUACCGUGCCUCAGAGCUCAUCACUGGUCAGGUACCAAGAAGACAUAAAAAUGGACGCCCAGAGCAAGGAGGUCGACGCCCUUGUCCAGAAGAUCACCGGCCUCCACGCCGCCAUCGCCAAGCUGCCCUCGCUCAGCCCGUCCCCGGACGUCGACGCGCUCUUCACCGACCUGGUCACCGCGUGCGCGCCCCCGAGCCCCGUGGACGUGACCAAGCUCGCCCCGGAGGCGCAGGCGAUGCGGGAGGGCCUCAUCCGCCUCUGCUCCGAGGCCGAGGGCAAGCUGGAGGCGCACUACUCCGACAUGCUCGCCGCCUUCGACAACCCGCUCGACCACCUCGGCGUCUUCCCCUACUACAGCAACUACAUCAACCUCAGCAAGCUCGAGUACGAGCUCCUCGCGCGCUACGUGCCCGGCGGCAUCGCCCCGGCCCGCGUCGCCUUCAUCGGCUCCGGCCCGCUGCCGUUCAGCUCCUACGUCCUCGCCGCGCGCCACCUGCCCGACACCGUGUUCGACAACUACGACCUGUGCGGCGCGGCCAACGACCGCGCGAGCAGGCUGUUCCGCGCGGACAAGGACGUCGGCGCCCGCAUGUCGUUCCACACCGCCGACGUCGCGGACCUCACCGACGAGCUCGCUACGUACGACGUCGUCUUCCUGGCCGCGCUCGUUGGCAUGGCCGCCGAGGACAAGGCCAAGGUGAUCGCGCACCUUGGCGCGCACAUGGCGGACGGGGCGGCCCUCGUCGUGCGCAGCGCGCACGGGGCGCGUGGGUUCCUCUAUCCGAUCGUCGAUCCCCAGGACAUUGGUCGAGGCGGGUUCGAGGUGCUCGCCGUGUGUCACCCCGACGACGACGUGGUGAACUCCGUCAUCAUCGCACAAAAGAGCAACGACGUGCACGAGUAUGGACUUGGCAGCGGGCGUGGUGGACGGUACGCGCGAGGCACGGUGGUGCCGGUGGUCAGCCCACCCUGCAGGUUCGGCGAGAUGGUGGCAGACGUGACCCAGAAGAGAGAGGAGUUUGCCAAGGCGGAAGUGGCCUUCUGAUUGCUGCGAGGUACACCGCUGCUGAAUCGUACGUGGUAAUUUUUCUACUCCUUCUCUUCCUACCACCACCUAUCACCUAUGUAUGCAUUUUAAGUCGUGUGUUAUUUGUAUCCAAUAAUGUAAGUGAGAUGUUUACACGCGCAUAUCUAUCUUGUAUACUCGGUCUCUGAAAGGCAUGGCAGAUCAGGAUAGUGUGCAAAGGAACAGCAAGUGUUGUUGCAGGUGUAUGUGUUUUGUUUUUUGUUUUUUUUGUGCGGGGGUUGAAGGUGUAUGUGUUGGGAAUAAGAUUAUUUUUGUUCACAAAUACGAUGUCUAAUCGGUGUCGUAUUCGUACCCGAGUACGUUUGUCCCGUUCUCAAGUUGGUCGCUAUGUCUGACGGGCGAUGCAUGUUGCUUUUGACCACGGAAUCCGCCCAUGGCUCGACAAGCUCCGUUAACGGCAAGUAAAGGCAAGUCAACACAAGGUAAAGAUGGUCGACAAUAGUUCAAGAAAGCUCCUGUGGGUCCGAGCAAGACACCCCACUCAAUAAAAUCUAAUCAAGCCUUCAUGGUCAACAAGUUUAAAAAAAAAGACCAUGUAAAAGAAUAAGUCAAAGAUCAACACACAUAAAAAAAGGAGCAAAGAAACUCAAACCCAAACAAUAAGAUUUUUGUAUGGCGCAGAAAUCUCUCCUUAAAUGGGCCUCCACCCCCUCCUACCACAUGGGCUAAAACAUUUAAAAUACUUCCUCCGUCUCAAAAUAACUGUCUCAAUUUUGUACUAGCUCUAGUACAAAAUUGUACUAAGCUUGAGACACUUAUAUUAGGACAGAGGGAGUAUGUAGUAUCAAUACAGUCCAUAUGUGCAUCCUCCUUCUAAUACCAAGUCCUUACUCUCGUGGAGCUGAUUCAUGGACGCGGCUAUGUAUCGCCUAUAGUGAUACCUUAUUUAGGGGUGCUUAUAUCUUUUUUCAGCAUAGUAUAAUUAAAGUCGCUCACAUACAUAAAUAUAUAAUUAUUCAUAUAAAUGUACACGCAAACUCUAUCUCUGUGAGCACUUUCGAGAAACCGACCGACACAUCAUCUUGAGAUUGACGAAGUCGUCACAGACACUUUCGUAGUCGACGGGAACGUCUUCUUUCACUAAACGCACAUCACAUGAAGGCCUGAAAUAAAUCUAGGAGAAUGCAAGCAUAAAUAUCAAGCUUGCGACUUGAACUCACGUAGACAGGGGGUACCACCAUUCUUCUAACCAUCCAAACACAGGUUCGUUCACGCCUAUAAUGAUACCUAGCGCAGUGUCGUUAGUGUGGCCUAGUUGGGUUGGCCCAGGAUGUUGGAGAACCACUGGAUCUCCAACACACAUUUUUGCUUUUCAUUUUUAUCACUUUUACUUAUAUUUUUAAUAUGGGAAAAUAUUUAUGUUUUAUAUAUGUACACCACACGUUCCAAAAAAAGUUAUCAUAGUGUAAAAAAAUGUUUGGGCAACUUUGAAAAAAAUAUCUAAAAUAAAAAAUGCCCAUGACAUUUUUUAAAAUUUUCAGAAAAUGUACAUAACAUUUCAAUAAAAGUAUUUAUGCAAUUCAAAAACUGUUUGUAUAAAUAUAAUAAAAAUGUUCAUACCAUUCAAGAAAUAUACGUGAAAUUUUAAAGAAUAAUUCUUGUGUUUCAAAUAGGAUCAUAACAUUUUUUCAAAGGUUCACAUAGUUUGACCAAAAUAUUUUCCAGCCAUUAAAAGAUGUACAAUGUGCGUUUGAAAAAAUGCUUAAACAUGUAUGAAAAAAUGUUCAAUAUAUGUAUUUGCAAAAAGGUACAUUCAUGUAUUGAAAAUGUUCAACAUGUGUCAAUUUGUUUUUCAUGUCUAUACUAAAAAUAUACAAUGAAUACUGAAAAGUGGGCAUGUGUUGGAAAAAAGAAAAACUCAAAGUAAACAAAAACAUAUGUGUUUGAAAAAGGUUAAACGUGUGUAAAAAACUGUUUCUAAUGUGUACGAAAAAUACACAAUGUGUAUGAUAAAAGUUGACAUAAAAACAUAUAUUUCAAAAAAGUGUUAAUCAUGCAUCCAAAAACCAUUAAAUGUGUAUAUAUUUUCCCUGUUGUAUACGAAAAAUGUAUAACCAGUAUGAAAAAAUAUAGACAUCAAAAAUAUAUUUAUAAAAAAAUUAAUCAUAUAUUUAAUAAAUUUAGAAAAUAUUCCUACAGCAUACUAAAAACAAACAAUAUGGUUGAAAAGUAGACGUGUGUUGAAAAAACCCCAAUGAAAACAGAUGAAAACUAAAAAAGAAAAAAAGAAAAAAGAAAAAAGAAAAAUCAAAGAAACUAAUGUAAAACACUGAAACAAGAAAAGACUGAACUAAGAAAAGAACAAAGAAAUCAAAGAAAAAAAUGGAAAACAAUGGAACACUGCGAAUAACCUAGAAAGCCUAUUUGGAUGUCGCGCAACAGAUGGACACAUGAGAAGGAGCGGAUUGACCCGGUUAUGUCAAUCAGAAAAGUUAGGGAGGAUCUGGCGCUUCUAGAUUUGCCUCGUGAGCAGGCCCUGGGGCUACCCCGGGUUUGGCUGGGAGCCUCCGAAUGUAUUGCAUGUCAAAAUAAACACGGACGCUGCAAUCCACUUUGAUGAUGGCAAUGUCGGUGCUCGCGGUGUUGCUCGUUCUGCAUUGGGAUUCAAGGGUGCUUGAUGUAAGCCUUUUGCGGGUGUUACAGACCCACUCAUCGCUGAAACUCUCUCUCUCUCUCUCUGAAGGAAGGCGUCAUUUUUGCCACACUUUGAGGCUACACGCACGUGAUCAUGGAAAUCGACUGUCUAGAGGCAGUUAACCUCUGGAAUUCUCGCCACACCGAUCGCUCGAUGGUGGCACCAAUUCUCACAGAAAUUGGAGAGCUAGCUCUUAGUUUUACAUCAUUUUGUAUUCAACAUGUAAUAAGAUCAGCAAAUGGUCCUGCACAUCUUUGUGCUAAGCGUGCUUGUACGCUUAAUGUGACCGACAGCUGGUUAGACUCUAUCCCUAGCUUCUUGAUCAUCAGCCUCUUGAUUGAUUGCUCAGCGAAUGCAUUUGUUGAAUAAAGCUUUCAGAAAUUCCCCGUAAAAAAAACUAAAGAAAAACUGAAGAAACGGAUGUCGCCUUGUUUGUUUUUCAUGUACUUAAUGCACCAGGCGGUCCAUUCCUUGUAUGGAUUGGUGAACCCCGUCCCUCCACCCCAUCCCCACUAAUCCGUGCUGCUAACCCCUUCCGUAGAAACCUCCCGCUACAAAUGUGUUUAGUUCUGUCGCCUUGCUCGAGAGAGAUGAAAAUUGCUCUUCACUCGGGAUUCCUUCCAUGGGGGUGCUAGAGGGUGAUUUUGUUCCUCGUGGAUCUAGAGAGAUUUGGUCUAGAGAAGACCACACAUGGCUUAAAUGGACGCAUAAAGGUGAAUUGGCUAGGUUUAUUUCCUAGUGGGGGUAAAUCCACAUUGACUCCCAUAAAUUGGACUCAAAACCAUAUGGUGGUGGGAGUAACCGAACGAGGCCUUAAGGGACCGAUAAGUUAUAUUUUUACUUUCUUCAUGUUAUUUAUGGUUUGAAUUGGCCUUUUCUAAAGCAUUACGCCCACUCAUAUGGUGAGUUGUUCAAAAAAAUUAAACAUGUGUUUAAUCUUUUUUAAGUGAAAAUUGAAAAAGGCUAAAGCAUUAUUAAAGAGCUAGCCAUGGAUAGAAAUGCGUGAAAGCUAGCUAUCAACGUAAGAAUCAUGGGUCAACUACGAGAUCUUAUCCGUUUCAGCUCUAGCGGACUCUAACUUAUUUUUGAAUACAUCCUUUGUUGAUGUUGUUGUAUUCUAAACCGAAAGCAAGUAUUACGGGAGAUCGAUUUGCAACCAAACCAAACUCAUAAUAAAUCCUCUUUUCCACGUUUUCGGAGCACCCAAGUUUUUGUGAGCAUUAUACUCCCUCGGUCCUUUUUAGUUUGCAUAUAAGUUUUGUUUAAAGUCAAAGUAUCUCUACUUUGAUCAAACUUAUAGAAAAAAUUAUCAACAUUCACCAUACCAAAUCAAUAUUGCUAGAUUCUUUACGAAAUGUAGUUUCAUAGCGUAUAUAUCUAGUAUUGUAGAUAUUGGUAUUCUUUAAAAUAAAUUUGAUUAAACUUUGUAAAAUUUAUCUUAGAUCAAAAUCUAAUACGCGGACUAAAAAGGACCUGAGGGAGUACAUGCAGUUGUUAGUUCAAAAAGGAGGAUAGAAUAACAAGAACCACGCCGGAUGGCCCACGUGUCAGCGGCCCGUGCUAAAAGACCACCCCUUAUCCCCUCUUCCACCGUCCCCUGCUGCUUGGCCCUGUGCCGCUCCACAUCACCCCGAGCUUCGUGUCCCCCUCGCUCGCAGCCUCGCAGCACCGCGCGGCCGGCCGGGCGCCAUGGCGCACUCCUGCCUCUCCGCGGCGCGCACGGCGGCGGCGCUGCGCCUCCCGCUCCAGGCCGACCNNNNNNNNNNNNNNNNNNNNNNNNNNNNNNNNNNNNNNNNNNNNNNNNNNNNNNNNNNNNNNNNNNNNNNNNNNNNNNNNNNNNNNNNNNNNNNNNNNNNCGCCGCCUCCCCCCUGGUGGCGUGGUGCAAGCUUGUGGGCUCCCUGGGGCCCACCUAGCCUGGCCCAAAGUCUCCAUGGACUUCUUCCGUUCGGGAAAAAAUAAUUUCAGGGAUUUUAUUUCGUUUGGACUCCGUUCCAAAAUCAGAUCUGAAAAGAGUCAAAACACCGAAAACAGGAACUCGCACUUGGCACUGAAUCAAUAAGUUAGUCCCCAAAAAGAUAUAAAAAGGCACAUAAAACAUACAAAGAAGACAAGAUAACAGCGUGAAACCAUCAAAAAUUAUAGAUACGUUUGAGACGUAUCAAGUAAUAGCAUAGAAAACUGGCCAGAAUGGACCAAAUAUGCGAGUUUUGACGAGGUCCCCAUAAACGGUCCCCGGAGUUCGUGGAAUGUUUGGAUCUCCUCGGGAAAGAAAAUCGAUGAGUAAUAGCAUAGAAAACUUGUCAGAAUGGACCAAAUCUGCGAGUUUUGACUAGGUCCUCGUAACCGGUAACCGGAGUUCGCGGAACGUUCGGAUCGCCCCGGGAACCAAAAUCAGUGAGUAAUAGCAUAGAAAACUGGCCAGAAUAGACUAAAUCUGCGUGUUUUGACGAGGUCCCUGCAACCGGUCCCCGGAGUUUAUGGAAUGUUUGUAGCGCCCGGGGACCAAGAAUUCGUGAGUAAUAACAUAGAAAACUGGCCAGAAUGGACAAAAUCAAUGGGUUUUGACGAAGUCCGCGUAACCGGUCCCCGGAAUUCGCGGAACGUUCGAAUCGGCCCGGGACCCAAAAUCAGUGAGUAAUAGUAUAGAAAACUUGCGAGAAUGGACCAAAUCUGCGAGAUUUGACGAGGUCCCCGUAACCNNNNNNNNNNNNNNNNNNNNNNNNNNNNNNNNNNNNNNNNNNNNNNNNNNNNNNNNNNNNNNNNNNNNNNNNNNNNNNNNNNNNNNNNNNNNNNNNNNNNAUAGCAUAGAAAACUGGCCAGAANNNNNNNNNNCGUAUCCGGUCCCCGGAGUUCGCGGAAUGUUUGGAUUUCCUCGGGAAACAAAAUCAGUUAGUAAUAUCAUAGAAAACUAGUCCAAAUGUACCAAAUCUGUAAGUUCUGACGAGGGCCCCGUAACCUGUACCCGGAGUUCACGGAACGUUCGGAUCGCCCCGGGAACCAAAAUCAUUGAGUAAUAUCAUAGAAAACUGGUCAGAAUGGACCAAAUCUAAGAGUUUUCACGAGGUCCCCGUAACCAGACCCUGAAGUUCCCCGAACAUUCGUAUCGCCCCGGGUCCAAGAUCAGUGAGUAAUAGCAAAGAAAACUGGACAGAAUGGCAAAAUCUUCAAGUUGUGAUGAGGUCCCAAUAACCGGUCCCGGGAGUUCGUGGAACGUUUGUAGCGCCCCGGGACCCAAAAUCAGUGAGUAAUCGCAUAGGAAACUCGCUAGAAUGGACCAAAUCUGCGAGUUUUGACAAUGUCCCCAUAACCGUACCCCAAAGUUCCCCGAACGUUCGGAUCUCCCCGGGACCCAAAAUCUGUGAGUAGUAGCAUCGAAAACUGGCCAGAAUGGACCGUAUUUGCGAGUUUGACGAGGUCCCCGUAACCGGUCCCCGAAGAUCCCCGAAUGUUUGCGGCGCCACGGGACCAUAGUUAGUGUGUAAUAGCACAGAAAACUGGCCAGAAUGGAUCGAAUCUACAAGCUUUCUCGAGGUCCCCAUAACAGGACCCCAUAGUUCACCGAACGUUUGUGUCGCCCCGGGACCCAAAAUCAGUGAGUAAUAGCAUAGAAAACUGGCCAGAAUGGACCAAAUCUGCAUGUUUUGACGAGGUCCCCAUAACCGGUCCCCGGAGUUCCCAGAAUGUUCGUAGCACCUAGGGACCCACAAUCAGUGAGUAAUAGCAUAGACAACUGGUCAAAAUGGAAAAAUCUAUGAGUUUAGGCGAAGUCCACGUAGCUGGUCCUCAGAGUUCGCGGAACAUUUGUAGCGCCCCGGGAACCAGAACGAGUGAGUAAUAGCAUAGAAUAUUGGCCAGAAUGGACCAAAUCUGCGUGUUUUUAUGAGGUCCUCGUAACUGGUCCCCGAAUUUCCCCGAACGUUUGUCGCACCACGGGACCCUGAAUCAGUGAGUAAUAGCAUAGAAAAUUGGCCAGAAUGGACCAAAUCUGCGAGUUUUGACGAGGUCCCCAUAGUCGGUCCCCAACUUUCCCCGAACGUUUGUAGCACCACGGGACCCUGAAUUAGUGAGUAAUAGCAUAGAAAAUUGGCCAGAACGGACCAAAUCUGCGAGUUUUGACGAGGUCCCCGUAACUGGUCCCUGGAGUUCGCGAAACGUUCGAAUCACCCCGGGAACCAAAAUCAGUGAGUAAUAGCAGAGAAAACUGAUCAGAAUGGACAAGAUCUGCGAGUUUUCACGAGGUCCCCGGAGUUCCCCGAAUAUUCGUAUCACCCCGGGUCCAAGAACACUGAGUAAUAGCAUAGAAAACUGGCCAGAUAGGACUAAAUUUGCGAUUUUGACGAGGUCCCCGUAACUGGUACCCGGAGUUCGUGGAACAUUUGUAGCGCCCGGGGACCCAGAAUCAGUGAGGUCGCAUAGGAAACUGCCGAGAAUAAACAAAAUCUGCGAGUUUUGACAAUGUCCCCAUAACCGGACCCCAAAGUUCCCCGAACGUUCGGAUCUUCGCGGGACCCAAAAUCAGUGAGUAAUAUCAUAUAAAACUGACGAGAAUGGACCAAAUUUGCAAGUUUUGACGAGGUCCCCCUAACCGGUCCCCGAAGUUUCCCGAAUGUUUGUGGCACCACGGGAUCAAUAAUUAGUGAGUAGUAGCAUAGAAAACUGGCUAGAAUGGAUCAAAUCUACAAGUCUUCACGAGGUCCCCAUAACGGGACUCCGAAGUUCCCCGAACAUUCGUGUCGCCCCGGACCCAAAAUCAGUGAGUAAUAGCAUAGAAAACUGGUCAGAAUGGACCAAAUCUGCGAGUUUUUGACGAGGUCCCCGUAACCGGUCCCCUGAGUUCGUGGAACGUUUGUAGCGCCCGAAGACCCAGAAUCAGUGAGUAAUAGCAUGGAAAAGUGGCCAAGAUGGACAAAGUGUACGAGUUUAGACGAGUUCCCCGUAACCGAUCCCCGGAGUACGCGAAACGUUCGGAUCGCUCCGGGAACCAAAAUCAGUGAGUAAUCGCAUAGAAAACUGGCUAGAAUGGACUAAAUCUGCGAGUUUUGACAAUGUCCCCAUAACCGGACAACAAAGUUCCCCGGACGUUUGUAUUCUCCGGGACCCAAAACCAGUGAGUAAUACCACAGAAAACUGGCCAAAAUGUAUGGAAUUUGCGAGUUUUGACGAGGUCCCCGUAACCGGUCCCCGAAGUUCCCCAAAUGUUUGUGGCGCCACGGGACCCAUAAUUAGUGAGUAGUAGCAUAGAAAACUGGCCAAUGGACCAAAUCUGCGAGUUUUGACGACGUCCCCGUAACCGGUCUCCUAAUCUCGUGGAAAGUUUGUACUUUGUAGUGCCUCGGGACCCAGAAUCAGUGAGUAAUAGCAUGGAAAACUGGCCAGAAUGGACAAAAUCUAUGAGUUUUGAUGAAGUCCCCGUACCCGGUCCCCGGAGUUCGCGGAACGUUCGAAUCGACCCAGGAACCAAAAUCAGUGAUAUUUGAGGAGGUCCCUGUAACCGGUCCCUGAAUUUCCCCGAACGUUUGUAGCGCCACGGGACCCUAAAUCAGUGAGUAAUAUCGUAGAAAACUGGCCAGAAUGAACAAAAUCUACGAGUUUUGACGAAGUCCUCGUAACCAGUUCGUGGAACGUUCGGAUCGGCCCGGGAACCAAAAUCAGUGAGUAAUAGCAUAGAAAACUAGACAGAAUGGACCUAAUCUGUGUGAUUUGACAAGGUCCCCGCAACCGGUCCCCGAAGUUCGUGGAACGUUCGAAUCGGCCCGGGAACCAAAAUCAGUGAGUAAUAGCAUAGAAAACUGGCCAACAUGGACCAAACCUGCGUGAUUUGACAAGGUCCCCGUAACCGGUCCCCGAAUUUCCGCGAACGUUUGUACCACCACAGGACCCUGAAUCAGUGAGUAAUAGCAUAGAAAACUGGCCAGAAUGGACCAAAUCUGCGAGUUUUGGCGAGGUCACCGUAACCGGUACCUGGAGUUCACGGAACGUUCGGAUCUCCCCGGGAACCAAAAUCAGUGAGUAAUAGCAUAAAAAACUGGCCAGAAUGGAUCAAAUCUGCGAGUUUUCACGAGGUCCCCGUAACUAGACCCUGAAGUUCUUCGAACAUUCGUAUUGCCCCGGGUCCAAAAUCGAUGAGAAAUAGCAUAAAAAACUGGACAGAAUGGACAAAAUCUGUGAGUUGUGACGAGGUCACCGUAAUCGGUCCCCGGAGUUCGAACGUUUGUAGCGCCGGGAGACCCAAAACCAAUGAGCGAUAGUAUAGUAAAAUGGCGAGAACGGACCAAAUCUGCGAGAUUUGACGAAGUCCCCGUAACCGGUCCCCGAAUUUCCCCAAACAUUUGUAGCACCACGUGACCCCGAAUUAGUGAGUAACCACACAGAAAACUGGCUAGAAUGGACCAAAUCUGCGAGUUUUGAUAAUGUCCCUAUAACCGGACCCCAAAGUUUCCGGAACGUUCGAAUCUCCCCGGGACCCAAAAUUAGUGAGUAAUAACAUAGAAAACUGGCCAGAAUGGACCAAAUUCACGAGUUUUGACGAGGUCACCGUAUCCAGUCCCCGAAGUUCCCAGAAUGUUUGCGUCGCCACGGGACCCAUAAUUAGUGAGUAAUAGCAUAGAAAACUGGCAAGAAUGGAUUGAAUCUACAAGUUUUCACGAGGUCCCCAUAACCGGACCCGAAAGUUCCUCGAACGUUGGUGUCGCCUCGGGACCCAAAAUCAGUGAGUAAUAGCAUAGAAAACUGGCCAGAAUAGACCAAAUUUGGCCAGAGGUCCCCGUAUUUGGUCCCCGGAGUUCGUGGAACAUUUGUAGCGUGCGGGGAGCCAGAAUCACUGAGUAAUAGCAUAGAAAACUGGCCAGAAAGGACAAAAUCUACGAGUUUUGAGAAGUCCCCGUUACGAGUCCCCAGAGUUCGCGGAACGUUCGGAUCGGCCCGGAACCAAAAUCAGUGAGUAAUAGCAUAGAAAAUUGGCCAGAAUGGAAUAAUCUGCAAGAUUUGACGAGGUCCCCGUAACCGGUCUCCGAAUUUUCCCGAACGUUUGUAGCACCACGGGACCCAAAAUCAGUGAAUAAUAGCAUAGAAAACUAGCCAGAAUGGACCAAAUCUGCGAGNNNNNNNNNNCUAAGAGGUCAGCAGAGUUCGCGGACUGUUUGGAUCUCUCCGCGAACAAAAAUCGGUGAGUAAUAGCAUAGAAAACUGGCUAGAAUGGACCAAAUGUACGAGUUUUUGCAAGGUCUCCGUAACCGGUCCGUGGAGUUCGCGGCACAUUCGGAUCGCGCCGGGAACCAAAAAUCACUGAGUAAUAGCAUAGAAAACUGGCCAGAAUGGACGAAAUCUGCGAGUUUUCACGAGGUCCCCGUAACCAGACCCAGAAGUUCCCCGAACAUUCGUAUUGCCCCGGGUCCAAAAUCAAUGAGAAAUAGCAUGAAAAAUUGAACAGAAUGGACAAAAUCUGCAAAUUUUGACGAGGUCCCCGGAGUUAGUGGAACGUUUGUAGCGCCCCGGGACCCAUAACUAGUGAGUAAUAGCAUAGAAAACUUGCGAGAAUGGACCAAAUCUGCGAGAUUUGACGAGGUCCCCGUAACCGGUUCUCGAAUUUCCCCGAAUGUUUGUAGACCACGAGACCCUGAAUUAGUGAGUAAUCGUAGAGAAAACUGGCUCGAAUGGACCAAAUCUGCGAGUUUUGAUAAUGUCCCCAUAACCGAACCCCAAAGUUCUUUGAAUGUUUGGAUCUCCCCGGGACCCGAAAUUAGUGAGUAAUAGCAUAGAAAACUGGCCAGAAUGGACCAAAUUUGCGAGUUUUGACAAGGUCCCCGUAUCCGGUUGCCGAAGUUCCCACAAUGUUUGCGGCGCCAUGGGACCCAUAAUUAGUGUGUAACUACGAGGUAGAGGUUUGAGUUGCACGUGGCAAAGUUGUGUCUCAAAAACCCAAAAAGCUCUAGUAUAUAUAUGAGGAGGGGAGGGGCUAGGCUUGAGGCUCAAGUGAGCCUCAACGACGCCGGUCGAGAAAGGAGAGGAGGACUCCAACUCCAAUUCGGUUUGGGGAAGGAGGAGUCCUCAUCUUCCUUCCCGCGUGCCUCUUUUUUUUUCUUUUUUAUUUUUGGUUUUCUUUUCCUAGCGCCAUAGACUACUUGGGCUGGCCUCACCAGCCCACUAAGGGCUGGUUCGACACAGUUGGUCUCUUAGGCUCACUCCUGGGUGGGUGGGCCACUCCCUGUGAAAAUCCGGAACCCAUUCGUCACUCCCGGUACACUGUCGGUAAUGCCCAAAAUCAUUUUGGUGACCAAAUGAAACCAUACUAUAUAUCAAUCUUCGUUUCCGGACCAUUUCGGAAACCCUCGUGACGUCCGUGAUCUCAUCCGCGACUCCGAACAACCUUCGGUCACAAACACCUAUAACUCAACUAUACCGAAACGUCACUGAACCUUAAGUGUGCACACCAUGCGGGUUCGAGAACUAUGCAGACAUAACCUGAGACACUCUCUGGUCAAUAACCAACAGCGGGACCUGGAUGUCCAUAUUGGUUUCUACAUAUUCUACGAAGAUCUCUAUCGGUUGAACCUCUAUGUCAAGGUUCAUAUAAUCCCGUAUACUAUUCCCUUUGUCCUUCGGUAUGUUACUUCCCCGAGAUUCGAUUGUGGUAUCUCUAUACCAAGUUCAAUCUCGUUACCGGCAAGGCUCUUUACUCGUUCUGUAAUACAAGAUCUCGUAACUAACCCGUUAGUCACAUUGCUUGCAAGGCUUGUUGUGAUGUUGUAUUACCGAGUGNNNNNNNNNNCGAGUUCUGACGAAGUCCCCGUAACCAGUUUGCAGAACGUUCGGAUCGGUCCGAGAACCAAAAUCAUUGAGUAAUAACAUAGAAAGCUAGCGAGAAUGGACCAAAUCUGUGAGAUUUGACGAGGUCCCCGUAACCGGUCCCCGGAGUUCGUGGAACGUUCGAAUCGGUCCAGAACCAAAAUCAGUGAGUACUAGCAUAGAAAACUAGCCAAAAUGGACCAAAUCUGCGUGAUUUGACGAGGUCCCCGUAACCGGUCCCCGAAUUUCCCCGAACGUUUGUAGCACCACGGGACCCUGAAUCAGUGAGUAAUAGCAUAGAAAACUAGCCAGAAUGGACCAAAUCUGCGAGUUUUGACAAGGUCCCCGGAGUUCGCGGGCUGUUUGGAUCUCUUCGCGAACAAAAAUCAGUAAAUAAUAGCAUAGAAUACUGGCUAGAAUGGACCAAAAGUACGGGUUUUGGCGAGGUCCCCGUAACCGGUACCUAGAGUUCGCGGAAUGUUCGGAUCGCCUCGGCAACCAAAAUUAGUGAGUAAUAGCAUAAAAAACUAGUCAGAAUGGACCAAAUCUGCGAGUGUUCACGAGGUCUCCGUAACUAGACUGUGAAGUUCCCCGAACAUUCGUAUUACCCCACGUCCCAAAUCAAUGAAAAAUAGCAUAAAAACUGGACAGAAUGGACAAAAUCUGUGAAUUGUGUUGAGGUCCCUGUAACCGGUCCCCGGAGUUCGUGGAACGUUUGUAGCGCCCCGGGACCCAGAACCAGUGAGUAAUAGCAUAGAAAACUAGCGAGAAUUGACCAAAUCUGCGAGAUUUGACGAGAUCCCCGUAACCGGUCCCCGAAUUUCCCCGAACGUUGUAGCACCACGGGACCUUGAAUUAGUGAGUAAUCGCAGAGAAAACUGGCUAGAAUGGACCAAAUCUGCGAGUUUUGAUAAUGUCCCCAUAACCGGACCCCAAAGUUCCCCGAACGUUCGGAUCUCCCCGGGACCCGAAAUUAGUGAGUAGUAGCAUAGAAAACUGGCCAGAAUGGACCAAAUUUGCGAGUUUUGACGAGGUCCCCGNNNNNNNNNNUCCGGUCGCCGAAGUUCCCACAAUGUUUGCGGCGCCAUGGGACCCAUAAUUAUUGUGUAACUACGAGGUAGAGGUUUGAGUUGCACGUGGCAAAGUGUGUCUCAAAACCCCAAAAACCUCUAGUAUAUAUAGGAGGAGGGGAGGGGCUAGCCUUGAGGCUCAAGGGAGCCUCAAGGGCGCCGGCCGAGAGAGGAGAGGAGGACUCCAACUCCAAUUCGGUUUGGGGAAGGAGGAGUCCUCCUCAUCCUUCCCGCCUCCCUCUUUUUUUCUUUUUUCUGGUUUUCUUUUCCUAGCACCAUAGCCCACUUGGGCUCGCCUCACCAGCCCACUAAGGGCUGGUGCGCCACCCUUGGGCUCUUAAGCUCACUCCUGGGUGGGUGGGCCCCUCCCGAUGAACAUCCGGAACCCAUUCGUCACUCCUGGUACACUGCCGGUAAUGCCCGAAAUCUUUUCGGUGACCAAAUGAAACCAUCCUAUAUAUCAAUCUUCGUUUCCGGACCAUUACGGAAACCAUCGUGACGUCUGUGAUCUCAUACGCGACUCCGAACAACCUUCGGUCACAAACACCUGUAACUCAACUAUACUGAAACGUCACUGACCCUUAAGUGUGCAGACCCUACGGGUUCGAGAACUAUGCAGACAUAACCUGAGACACUCUCUGGUCAAUNNNNNNNNNNNNNNNNNNNNNNNNNNNNNNNNNNNNNNNNNNNNNNNNNNNNNNNNNNNNNNNNNNNNNNNNNNNNNNNNNNNNNNNNNNNNNNNNNNNNNNNNNNNNNNNNNNNNNNNNNNNNNNNNNNNNNNNNNNNNNNNNNNNNNNNNNNNNNNNNNNNNNNNNNNNNNNNNNNNNNNNNNNNNNNNNNNNNNNAUCCUUCGGUAUGUUACUUGCCCGAGAUUCGAUCGUGGUAUCUCUAUACCUAGUUCAAUCUCAUUACCGGCAAGUCUCUUUACUCGUUCCGUAAUACAAGAUCUCGUAACUAACCCCUUAGUCACAUUGCUUGCAAGGCUUGUUGUGAUGUUGUAUUACCGAGUGGGCCCCGAGAUACCUCUCUGUCACACGGAGUGACAAGUCCCAGUCUUGAUCCAUGCCAACCCAACAAACACCUUUGGAGAUACCUGUAGAGCACCUUUAUAGUCACCCAGUUAUGUUGCGACGUUUGAUAACACACAAAGUAUUCCUCCGGUGUCCGGGAGUUGCAUGAUCCCAUGGUCAUAGGAACACAUACAUUGACAUGCAGAAAACAGUAGCAAUAAAUUGACACGAUCAUAUACUACGUUUAUAGUUUGGGUCUUGUCCAUCACAUCAUUCUCCCAAUGAUGUGAUCCCGUUAUCAAGUGACAACACUUGCCUAUGGCCAGGAAACCUUGACCAUCUUUGAUUAACGAACUAGUCAACUAGAGACUCACUAGGGACAGUGUGUUGUCCAUGUAUNNNNNNNNNNCGUGACAAGUCCCAGUCUUGAUCCAUGUCAACCCAACAGACACCUUUGGAGAUACCUGUAGAGCACAUUUAUAGUCACCCAGUUACGUUGCGACGUUUGAUAACACACAAAAUAUUCCUCCGAUGUCCGGGAGUUGCAUGAUCUCAUGUUCAUUGGAACAUAUUCAUUGACAUGCAGAAAACAGUAGCAAUAAAUUGACACGAUCGUAUACUACGUUUAUAGUUUGGGUCUUGUCCAUCACAUCAUUCUCCCAAUGAUGUGAUGCCGUUAACAAGUGACAACACUUGCCUAUGGCUAGGAAACCUUGACCAUCUUUGAUCAAUGAACUAGUCAACUAGAGACUCACUAGGGACAGUGUGUUGUCCAUGUAUNNNNNNNNNNAAUUCUAGCAUGGAUAAUAAAUGAUUAUUAUGAACAAGGAAAUAUAAUAAUAACUUAUUUAUUAUUGGCUGUAGGGCAUAUUUCCAACAUGUAGCACCCCAGGAACAAGAACCAGUGAGUAAUAGCAUCGAAAAUUGGCCAGAAUGGACCAAAUCUACGAGAUUUGAUGAGGUCCCCGUAACCGGUCCCCGAAUUUCCCCCAACGUUUGUAGCACCACGGGCCUUGAAUCAGUGAGAAAUAGCAUAGAAAACUAGCCAGAAUGGACCAAAUCUGCGAGUUUUGACGAAGUCCCCGUAAACGAUCCCUAGAGUUCGCGGAAUGUUUGGAUCUCCUAGGGAUAAAAAAUCAGUGAGUAAUAGCAUAGAAAACUGGUUAGAAUGGACCAAAUGUGCGAGUUUUUACUAGGUCCCUGUAGCCGGUGCCCGGAGUUCGCAGAACGUUCGGAUCGCCCCGGGAACCAAAAUCAGUGAAUAAUAGCAUAGAAAACUGGUCAAAAUGGACCAAAUCUGUGAGUUUUCACGAGGUCCCCGUAACCAGAUCCUGAAGUUCCCCAAACAUUCGUAUCGCCCCGGGUCCAAGAUCAGUGAGUAAUAGCAUAGAAAACUGGACAAAAUGGACAAAAUCUGCGAGUUGCGACGAGGUCCCCAUAACCGGUCCCCGGAGUUCGUGGAACGUUUGUAGCACACUAGACCCAGAAGCAGUGAGUAAUAGCAUAGAAAAUAGGCCAUAAUGGACCAAAUCUGCGAGUUUUGACAAGGUCCCCGUAACUGGUCCCCGAAGUUCGCGGAACGUUCGGAUCACUCCGGGAACCAAAAUGAGUGAGUAAUCGCAUAGAAAACCAGCUAGAAUAGGCCAAAGCUGUGAGUUUUGACAAUGUCCCAAUAACCGGACCCCAAAGUUCCCCGAACGUUUGGAUCUCCCCGGGACCCAAAAUCAAUGAGUAAUAGCAUAGAAAAUUGGCUAAAAUAGACCAAAUUUGCAAGUUUUGACGAGGUCCCCGUAACCGGUGCCCGAAGUUCCCCGAAUGUUUGCGGCGCCACGGGACCCAUAAUUAGUGAGUAAUAGCAUAGAAAACUCGCAGAAUGGAUCGAAUCUACGAGUUUUCACGAGAUCCCCUUAACCGGACCCCGAAGUUCCCCGAACGUUCGUGUCGCCCCGGGACCCAAAAUCAGUGAGUAAUAGCAUAGAAAACNNNNNNNNNNNNNNNNNNNNNNNNNNNNNNNNNNNNNNNNNNNNNNNNNNNNNNNNNNNNNNNNNNNNNNNNNNNNNNNNNNNNNNNNNNNNNNNNNNNNNNNNNNNNNNNNNNNNNNNNNNNNNNNNNNNNNNNNNNNNNNNNNNNNNNNNNNNUGGAACGUUUGUAGCGCCCAGGGACCCAGAAUCAGUGAGUAAUAGCAAAGAAAACUAGCGAGAAUGAACAAAAUCUACGAGUUUUGAUGAGGUCCCCGUAACCAGUACCCGGAGUUCGCGGAACGUUCGGAUUGGCCCGAAAACCAAAAUCGGUGAGCAAUAGCGUACAAAACUGGCGACAAUGGACCAAAUCUGCAAGAUUUGACGAGGUCCCCGUAACCGGUCCCCGAAUUUCCCCGAACGUUUGUAGCACCACGGGACCCUGAAUCAGUGAGUAAUAGCGUAGAAAACUAGCCAGAAUGGACCAAAUCUGUGAGUUUUGACAAUAUCCCCAUAACCAUACCCCAAAGUUCCAUGAAUGUCCAGAUCUCCCCGAGACCCAAAAUCAGUGAGUAAUAGAAUAGGAAACUGGCCAGAAUGGACCAAAUGUGCGUGUUUUCACGAGGUCCCCGGAGUUCGCUGAAUGUUUGUAGCGCCCGGGGACCCACAAUCAGUGAGUAAAAGGAUAGGAAACUGGCGAGAAUGGACAAAAUCUAUGAGUUUUGGCGAAGUCGGUGUAACCGGUCCCCGGAGUUUGCGGAAUAUUUUUAGCGCCCGGAAACCAGAACCAGUGAGUAAUAGCAUAGAAAAUUGGCCAGAAUGGACCAAAUCAAUGAGAUUUGACGAGGUCCCCGUAACCAGUCCCCAAAUUUCCCCGAAUGUUUGUAGCACCACGGGACCCUGAAUCAAUGAGUAAUAGCAUAGAAAACUAGCCAGAAUGGACCAAAUAGCGAGUUUUGAUGAGGUCCCCGUAAACGGUCUCCGGAGUUUGCACAAUGUUUGGAUCUCCUCGGGAAACGAAAUCGGUGAGUAAUAGCGUAGAAAACUGGUGAGAAUGGACCAAAUCUGCGAGUUUUGACGAGGUCCCCGUAACCGGUACCCGGAGUUCGCGGAACGUUUGGAUCGCCCCGGGAACCAAAAUAAGUGAGUAAUAGCACAGAAAACUGGCCAGAAUAGACCAAAUAUGCGUGUUUUGACGAGGUCCGCGUAACCGGUCCCCGGAAUUCGUGGAAUGUAUGUAGCACCCGGGGACCGAGAAUCUAUGAAUAAUAACAUAGAAAAUUGACCAGAAUGGACAAAAUCAAUGAGUUUAGAUGAAGUCCGCGUAACCGGUCCCCAGAAUUCGCGAAAUGUUUGAAUCGGCCCGGGACACAAAAUCAGUGAGUCCCUGUAACCAGUCCUCGGAGUUCGUGGAACGUUCGGAUCGGCCCGGAACCAAAAUCAGUGAGUAAUAGCAUAGAAAAUUGACAGAAUGGACUAAAUCUGCAAGAUUUGACGAGGUCCCCGUAACCGGUCCCCGAAUUUUCCCGAACGUUUGUAGCACCACGGGACCCUGAAUGAGUGAAUAAUAGCAUAGAAAACUAGCCAGAAUGGACCAAAUCUGCGAGNNNNNNNNNNGUAAAAGGUCCCCAGAGUUCGCGGAAUGUUUGGAUCUCCCCGGGAAACAAAACCAGUCAGUAAUAGCAUAGAAAACUGGCCAGAAUGGACCAAAUGUGCGAGUUUUGACGAGAUCUCCGUAACCGGUCCCUGGAGUUCGCGGAACAUUCGGAUCGCGCCGAGAACCAAAAAUCACUGAGUAAUAGCAUAGAAAACUGGCCAGAAUUGACGAAAUCAACGAGUUUUCACGAGGUCACCGUAACCAGACCCGGAAGUUCCCCGAACAUUAGUAUCGCCCCUGGUCCAAAAUCAUCGAGUAAUAGCAUAGAAAACUGGACAGAAUGGACAAAAUCUACGAGUUGUGACGAGGUCCCCGUAAUCGGUCCCUGGAGUUCGUGCAACGUUUGUAGCGCCCCGGGACCCAGAACCAGUGAGUAAUAGCAUAGAAAACUGGUCAGAAUGGACCACAUCUGCGAGUUUUCACAAGGUCCCCGUAAUCGGUCCCCGAAGUUCGCGGAACGUUCGGAUUGCUCCGGGGAACCAAAAUCAAUGAGUAAUCGCAUAGAAAACUGGCCAGAAUACCAAAUCUGUGAGUUUUGAAAAUGUCCCCAUAACCGGACCCCAAAGUUCCCCGAACGUUCGGAUCUCCCAGGACCCAAAAUCAGUGAGUAAUAGCAUAGAAAACUGGCCAGAAUGGACCAAAUUUGUGAGUUUUGACGAGGUCCCUAAAACAGGUCCCCGAAGUUCCCCGAAUGUUUGUGGCGCCACGGGAUCCAUAAUUAGUGAGUAAUAGCAUAGAAAACUGGCCAGAAUGGAUCAAAUCUACAAGUUUUCACGAUGUCCCCAUAAUCGGACCACGAAAUUCCCGAAAUGUUUGUGUCGCCCUGGGACCCAAAAUCAGUCAGUAAUAGCAAAGAAAACUGGCCAGAAUGGACCAAAUCUGCGUGUUUUGAUGAGGUCCCCGUAACCGGUCCGAGGAGUUCGUGGAAUGUUUGUAGCGCCCGUGGACCGAGAAUCACUGAGUAAUAGCAUAGAAAACUAGCCAGGAUGGACAAAAUCAAUGAGUUUUGACGAAGUCCACGUAAACGGUCCCCGGAGUUCGCGAAACGUUCGAAUCGGCUCGGAACCAAAAUCAGUGAAUAAUAGCAUCGAAACCUGACCAGAAUGGACCAAAUCUGCGAGAUUUGACGAGGUCCCCGUAACCGGUCNNNNNNNNNNNNNNNNNNNNNNNNNNNNNNNNNNNNNNNNNNNNNNNNNNNNNNNNNNNNNNNNNNNNNNNNNNNNNNNNNNNNNNNNNNNNNNNNNNNNCGCAUGGGAAACAAAAAUUUUCCUACGCACACGAAGACCUAUCAUGGUGACGUCCAUCUACGAGAGGGGAUGAGUGAUCUACGUACCCUUGUAGACCGUNNNNNNNNNNUCGGUAUUUUGAUAUGUUGUAUAUUGUUUUUCCUCUAGUGGUGUUAUGUAAACGUCGACUACAUAACACUUCACCAUUAUUUGGGCCUAGAGGAAGGCAUUGGGAAGUAGUAAGUAGAUGAUGGGUUGCUAGAGUGACAGAAGCUUAAACCCUAGUUUAUGUGUUACUUCGUAAGGGGCUGAUUUGGAUCCACUAGUUUAAUGCUAUGGUUAGACAUUGUCUUAAUUCUUCUUUCCUAGUUGUGGAUGCUUGCGAGAGGUGUUAAUCAUAAGUGGGAUGCUUGUCCAAGUAAGGGCAGUACCCAAGCACCGGUCCACCCACAUAUCAAACUAUCAAAGUAAUGAACGUGAAUCAUAUGAACAUGAUGAAACUAGCAUGACAGAAAUUUCCGUGUGUCCUCGGGAGCGUUUUUCCUCCUAUAAGACUUUGUCCAGGCUUGUCCCUUGCUACAAAAGGGAUUGGGCCACCUUGCUGCACCGUUGCUACUUUUGUUACUUCUUGCUUGCUACGAAUCAUCUCACCACACAAUCACUUGUAACCGACAAUUUCACUGCUUGCACAUAUUUCCUUGCUGAAAACCACUUGUCAGAUCCUUCUGCUCCUCGUUGCGUUCGACACUCUUACUUAUCGAAAGGACUACGAUUGAUCCCCUAUACUUGUGGGUCAUCAUGGACCAAAUCUGCGAGAUUUGACGAGGUCCCCGUAACCGGUCCCCGANNNNNNNNNNNNNNNNNNNNNNNNNNNNNNNNNNNNNNNNNNNNNNNNNNNNNNNNNNNNNNNNNNNNNNNNNNNNNNNNNNNNNNNNNNNNNNNNNNNNUCCUCGGUCAAUAUCCAAUAGCGGGACCUGGAUGCCCAUAUUGGAUCCUACAUAUUCUACGAAGAUCUUAUCGUUUGAACCUCAGUGCCAAGGAUUCGUAUAAUCCCGUACGCCAUUCCCUUUGUCCUUCGGUAUGUUACUUGCCCGAGAUUCGAUCGUCAGUAUCCGCAUACCUAUUUCAAUCUCGUUUACCAGCAAGUCUCUUUACUCGUUCCGUAAUACAAGAUCCCGCAACUUACACUAAGUUACAUUGCUUGCAAGGCUUGUGUGUGAUGUUGUAUCACCGAGUGGGCCCCGAGAUACCUCUCCAUCACACGGAGUGACAAAUCCCAGUCUUGAUCCAUACUAACUCAACUAACACCUUCGGAGAUACCUGUAGAGCAUCUUUAUAGUCACCCAGUUAUGUUGCGACGUUUGAUACACACAAAGCAUUCCUCCGGUGUCAGUGAGUUAUAUGAUCUCAUGGNNNNNNNNNNNNNNNNNNNNNNNNNNNNNNNNNNNNNNNNNNNNNNNNNNNNNNNNNNNNNNNNNNNNNNNNNNNNNNNNNNNNNNNNNNNNNNNNNNNNNNNNNNNNNNNNNNNNNNNNNNNNNNNNNNNNNNNNNNNNNNNNCCCAAUGACGUGAUCCAGUUAUCAAGCAACAACACCUUGUUCAUAAUCAGAAGACACUGACUAUCAUUGAUCAACUGGCUAGCCAACCAGAGGCAUGCUAGGGACAGUUUUUUGUCUAUGUAUCCACACAUGUAAAUGAGUCUUCAGUCAAUACAAUUAUAGCAUGGAUAAUAAACUAUUAUCUCGAUACAGGAAUUAUAAUAAUAACUAUAUUUAUUAUUGCCUCUAGGGCAUAAUUCCAACAGUCUCCCACUUGCACUAGAGUCAAUAAUCUAGCCCUCACAUCACCAUGUGAAUUACAUUGUAAUAAAUCUAACACCCAUACAGUUCUGGUGUCGAUCAUGUUUUGGCCGUGGGAGAGGUUUAGUCAGCGGGUCUCCUACAUUCAGAUCCGUGUGCACUUUGCAUAUAUUUACGUCCUCUUCCUCGACGUAGUCGCGGAUGAGGUUGAAGCGUCGUUUGAUGUGUCUGNNNNNNNNNNUCAUGCGAAUUACAUUGUAAUAAAUCUAACACACAUACAGUUCUGGUGUUGAUCAUGCUUUGCCCGUGGAAGAGGUUUAGUCAGCGGGUCUGCUACAUUCAGAUCCGUGUGCACCUUGCAUAUAUUUACGUCCUCCUCCUCGACGUAGUCGCGGAUGAGGUUGAAGCGUCGUUUGAUGUGUCUGGUCUUCUUGUGAAACCUUCGUUCCUUUGCUAAGGCAAUGGCACCAGUGUUGUCACAGAACAAGGUUAUUGGAUUCAGUGCGCUUGGCACCACUCCAAGAUCCGUCAUGAACUGCUUCAUCCAGACACCCUCCUUAGCCGCCUCCGACGCAGCCAUGUACUCCGCUUCACAUGUAGAAUCAGCUACGACGCUUUGCUUGGAACUGCACCAGCUUACAGCACCCCCAUUAAGAAUAAAUACGUAUCCGGUCUGCGACUUAGAGUCGUCCGGAUCUGUGUCAAAGCUUGCAUCGACGUAACCCUUUACGGCGAGCUCUUCGUCACCUCCACACACGAGAAACAUCUCCUUAGUCCUUUUCAGGUACUUCAGGAUAUUCUUAACCGCCGUCCAGUGAUUCACUCCUGGAUUACUCUGGAACUUGCCUGCCAUACUUAUGGCCAGGCUAACGUCCGGUCUAGUGCACAACAUUGCAUACGUGAUAGAUCCUAUGGCUGAAGCAUAGGGGACGGUGCUCAUAUGCUCUCUAUCUUUAUCAGUUGCUGGGCACUGAGUCUUACUCAAUCUCGUACCUUGUAAAACNNNNNNNNNNCGAUCAACUGGCUAGCCAACUAGAGACAUGCUAGGGAUGGUGUUUUGUCUAUGUAUCCACACAUGUAAAUGAGUCUUCAUUCAAUACAAUUAUAGCAUGGAUAAUAAACUAUUAUCUUGAUACAGGAAUUAUAAUAAUAACUAUACAUUUAUUAUUGCCUCUAGGGCAUAAUUCCAACACCAAUAUAUCACAUCACAUCGUUGGCCAUAUCACAUCACAAGCAUACCCUGCAAAAACAAGUUAGACGUCCUCUAAUUUUGUUGUUGCAUGUUUUACGUGGUGACCAUGGGUAUCUAGUAGGAUCACAUCUUACUUACGCAAACACCACAACGGAGAUAUAUGAAUUGCUAUUUAACCUUAUACAAGGACCUCCUCGGUCAAAUCCGAUUCAACUAAAGUUGGAGAAACCGACACUUGUCAGUCAUCUUUGAGCAAAGGGGGUUACUCGUAGCGAUGAAACCAGUCUCUCGUAAGCGUAUGAGUAAUGUCGGUCCAAGCCGCUUCAAUCCAACAAUACCGCGGAAUCAAGAAAAGACUAAGGAGGGCAGAAAAACGCACAUCACCGCCCACAAAAACUUUUGUGUUCUACUCGAGAAGACAUCUACGCAUGAACCUAGCUCAUGAUGCCACUGAUGGGGAACGUCGCAUGGGAAACAAAAAAAAUUCCUACGCGCACGAAGACCUAUCAUGGUGAUGUUCAACUACGAGAGGGGAUUUCCGAUCUACGUACCCUUGUAGAUCGCACAUCAGAAGCAUUAGUGAACGCGGUUGAUGUAGUGGAACGUCCUCACGUCCCUCGAUCCGCCCCGCGAACCAUCCCACGAACCGUCCCGCGAUCCGUCCCACGAUCUAGUGCCGAACGGACGGGACCUCCGCGUUCAGCACACGUACAUCUCGACGAUGAUCUCGGCCUUCUUGAUCCAGAAGAGAUACGGAGAGGUAGAUGAGUUCUCCGGCAGCGUGACGGCGCUCCGGAGGUUGGUGGUGAUCUGAUCUCGGCAGGGCUCCGCCCGAGCUCCGCAGAAACGCGAUCUAGAGGUAAAACCGUGGAGGUAUGUGGUCGGGCUGCCUUUGAAAAGUUAUCUCAAAUCAGCCCUAACUGCUCCAUAUAUAUAGGAGGAGGGAGGGGAGGCUUGCCUUGAGGCUCAAGGAGCCCCAAGGGCUGCGCACCAAGGGGAGGAGGAGUCCUCCUCCAAUCCUAGUCCAACUAGGNNNNNNNNNNNNNNNNNNNNNNNNNNNNNNNNNNNNNNNNNNNNNNNNNNNNNNNNNNNNNNNNNNNNNNNUCUUUCUCUUUGAUUUUCUAUCCUUCGCGCAUAGGGUCCUCUUGGGCUGCCCCACCAGCCCACCAAGGGCUGGUGCGCCACUCCCAAGGCCUAUGGGCUUCCCCGGGGUGGGUUGCCCCCCCGGUGAACACCCGGAACCCAUUCGUCAUUCCCGGUAACUCCGAAAACCUUCCGGUAAUCAAAUGAGGUCAUCCUAUAUAUCAAUCUUCGUUUCCGGACCAUUNNNNNNNNNNCGCUCCGGAGGUUGGUGAUGAUCUCGUCUCAGCAGGGCUCCGCCCGAGCUCCGCAGAAACGCGAUCUAGAGGAAAAACUAUGGAGGUAUGUGUUCGGGCUGCCGUGGCAAAAGUUGUCUCAAAUCAGCCCUAAUACCUUAGUAUAUAUAGGAGGGAGGGGGAGGGAAGAGGCAGCCUCAAACCCUCAAGGUUUGGCCGAAAUUGGAGGUGGAGGAGUCCUACUCCAAUCCUACUUGGAGUAGGAUUCCACCUUCCCACUUGGAAACUCUUUCCACCUUGUGUUUUUUCCUUCUCAAACCUUAUGGGCCUUAGUGGGAACUUAUUCCAGCCCACUAGGGGCUGGUUUAUCUCUUCCCAUAGCCCAUGAGACCCCUUGGGGCGUGACACCCCUCCCGAUGGUCCCCGGCACCCCUCCCGGCACUCCCGGUACAGUACCGAUGAGCCCGAAACUUUUNNNNNNNNNNNNNNNNNNNNNNNNNNNNNNNNNNNNNNNNNNNNNNNNNNNNNNNNNNNNNNNNNNNNNNNNNNNNNNNNNNNNNNNNNNNNNNNNNNNNUGCAUGUGAUGUUAAUCCUUUUAUGCACCUUAUUUUGCUUAGAACGACGGUAGCAUUAUGAGGUGAUCUCUCACUAAAAUUUCAAGACGAAAUUGUGUUCUCCCCGACUAUGCACCGUUGCUACAGUUCGUCGUUUCGAGACACCACGUGAUGAUCGGGUGUGAUAGACUCAACGUUCACAUACAACGGGUGCAAAACAGUUGCACACGCGGAACACUCGGGUUAAGCUUGACGAGCCUAGCAUGUGCAGACAUGGCCUCUGAACGCAUGAGACCGAAAGGUCGAUCAUGAAUCAUAUAGCUUAUAUGAUUAGCAUAGGGAUGCUUACCACUGAAACUAUACUCAACUCACGUGAUAAUCGGACUUGAGCUAGUGUAAGUGGGUCAUGAACCACUCAAAUGACUAGAGAGAUGUACUUUUUGAGUGGGAGUUUAGAAAGUAAUUUGAUUAAGUUAAACUCUAAUUAUCUUGAACAUAGUCUAAGUCCACUUUGAAUAUAUUUGUGUUGUAGAUCAUGGCUCACGCGACAGUCACCCUGAAUUUUAAUACGUUCCUAGAGAAAGCUAAGUUGAAAGAUGAUGGAAGCAACUUUGUAGACUGGGCUCGUAAUCUUAAGUUGAUCCUACAAGCUGGGAAGAAGGAUUAUCUCCUUAAUGCUGCGCUAGGAGAUGAACCACCCGCUACGGCUGACAAGGAUGCUAAGAACGCUUGGUUAACGCGUAAGGAGGACUACUCAGUAGUUCAAUGUACAGUCUUGUAUGGCUUAGAACCGGGACUUCAACGUCGCUUCGUCAUGGAGCAUAUGAGAUGUUCCAGGAGUUGAAGUUUAUCUUUCAGAAGAACUCCCGGAUCGAGAGGUAUGAGACCUCCGAUAAAUUCUAUGCUUGCAAGAUGGAGGAGAAUUCGUCUGUCAGUGAACAUGUGCUCAAAAUGUCUGGGUACUCAAACCGUCUAGCUGAACUGGGCAUUGAACUCCCGCAAGAAGCUAUCACUGACAGAAUCCUUCAAUCACUGCCGCCAAGCUAUAAAGGGUUUGUGUUGAACUAGAACAUGCGAGGGAUGAACAAGUCUCCCGGCGAGUUGUUUGCGAUGCUGAAAGUCGCAGAGUCUGAACUCCGUAAAGAGCAUCAAGUGUUGAUGGUAAAUAAGACCACUAGUUUCAAGAGAAACGGCAAAGGCAAGAAGGGCAAUUCANNNNNNNNNNNNNNNNNNNNNNNNNNNNNNNNNNNNNNNNNNNNNNNNNNNNNNNNNNNNNNNNNNNNNNNNNNNNNNNNNNNNNNNNNNNNNNNNNNNNUGUGUCCGAACGUCGUAAUCGUACUUUAUUAGAGAUGGUGCGAUCUAUGAUGUCUCUUACCGGUUUGCCGUUAUCAUUUUGGGGUUAUGCAUUAGACACAACUGCAUUCACUUUAAAUAGGGCACCAUCAAAAUCCGUUGAGACGACACCAUACGAACUGUGGUAUGGCAAAAGGCCAAAGUUGUCGUUUCUUAAAGUUUGGGGAUGUGAUGCUUAUGUCAAAAAGCUUCAGCCUGAAAAGAUGGAACCCAAAGCGGAAAGGUGCAUCUUCAUAGGUUACCCAAAAGAGACAGUUGGGUACACCUUCUAUCUCAAAUCCGAGGGCAAAGUGUUUGUUGCUAAAAACGGAGCUUUUCUCGAGAAGGAGUUUCUCUCGAGAGAAUUGAGUGGGAGGAAGAUAGAACUUGACGAGGUUGUCGAACCUCUCAUCCCUCUAGAUGGUGGCGCAGGGCAAGGGGAAACCUCUGUCGUUGCAACGCCGAUUGAGGAGGAAGUUAAUGAUGAUGAUCAUGAAACUCCAGUCCAAGUUUCUGUUGAACCACGCAGGUCGACGAGAUCACGCGCUGCUCCAGAGUGGUACUGUAAUCCCGUCUUAUCAAUCAUGUUGUUAGACAACAAUGAACCUGCAAAUUAUGAAGAAGCAAUGGUGGGCCCAGAUUCCAACAAAUGGCUGGAAGCCAUGAAAUCCGAGAUAGGAUCCAUGUAUGAGAACAAAGUGUGGACUUUGGAGAUACUACCUGAGGGCCGGAAGGCUAUUCAGAAAAAUGGAUCUUUAAGAAGAAGACGGACGCUGACGGUAAUGUGACCGUUUAUAAAGCUCGACUUGUGGCAAAGGUUUUUCACAAGUUCCAGGAGUGGACUAUGAUGAGACUUUCUCACCCGUAGCGAUGCUUAAGUCCGUCAGAAUCAUGUUAGCAAUANNNNNNNNNNNNNNNNNNNNNNNNNNNNNNNNNNNNNNNNNNNNNNNNNNNNNNNNNNNNNNNNNNNNNNNNNNNNNNNNNNNNNNNNNNNNNNNNNNNNAUUCCUUAACGGUUUCCUUAAGGAAGAGUUGUAUAUGAUGCAACCCGAAGGUUUUGUCGAUCCUAAAAAUGCUGACAAGGUAUGCAAGCUCCAGUGAUCCAUUUAUGGACUGGUGCAAGCAUCUCGGAGUUGGAACAAACGCUUUGAUGAGGUGAUCAAAGCAUUUGGGUUUAUACAAGUGGUUGGAGAAUCUUGUAUUUACAAGAAAGUGAGUGGGAGCUCUGUGGCGUUUCUGAUAUUAUAUGUAGAUGACAUAUUGCUGAUUGGAAACAAUGUAGAGUUUUUGGAGAGCGUAAAGGAUUACUUGAAUAAAAGUUUCUCUAUGAAGGACCUAGGAGAAGCUGCUUACAUUCUAGGCAUUAAGAUCUACAGGGAUAGAUCGAAACGCCUGAUAGGACUUUCACAAAGCACAUACCUUGAGAAAGUUUUGAAGAGGUUCAAAAUGGAACAGUCCAAGAAAGGGUUCUUGCCGGUGUUACAAGGUACGAGAUUGAGUAAGACUCAGUGCCCAGCAACUGAUGAANNNNNNNNNNUAAAGUUUUGAAAAGGUUCAAAAUGGAACAGUCCAAGAAAGGGUUCUUUCCAGUUUUACAAGGUACGAGAUUGAGUAAGACUCAGUGCCCAGCAACUGAUGAAGAUAGAGAGCAUAUGCGCUCCGUCCCCUAUGCUUCAGCCAUAGGUUCUAUCAUGUAUGCGAUGUCGUGCACUAGACCGGAUGUUAGCCUGGCCAUAAGUAUGGCAGGUAGGUUCCAGAGUAAUCCAGGAGUGGAUCACUGGACAUCGGUCAAGAAUAUCCUGAAGUACCUGAAAAGGACUAAGGAAAUGUUUCUCGUGUAUGGAGGUGACGAAGAGCUCACCGUAAAAGGUUACGUCGAUGCAAGCUUUGACACAGAUCCGGACGACUCUAAGUCGNNNNNNNNNNNNNNNNNNNNNNNNNNNNNNNNNNNNNNNNNNNNNNNNNNNNNNNNNNNNNNNNNNNNNNNNNNNNNNNNNNNNNNNNNNNNNNNNNNNNUAUAUAUAUAUAUAUAUAUAUAUAUAUAGUCAAUGAUGAUUUUGAAAAAAUUUGCUGACUUUCAAAAUUUGAUGAAUUGAACAUUUUGAUGAUUUUCAUGAUGUGAUGAAUUUCAUGCCAUGUAUAUGAUGACUAUGAUGACAAUCAUAAUUUGAUGAAAUUGAAAGUUUUGAUGACUUUCAUGAUUUGAUGAAUGACAUGUAUAUGAUGAAUGACAGACAUGAUGACAUUGAUGAUUUGAUGAUUUGAUGACUUUGAAGAAAUUUUGAUGACUUUCAAAAGGAAUUUCAUCAGUUGAGGAAUUUCAAAGUUAUGUGUGGUGGCGUUACCCGCCGUAUAGGAAUGAGGAUUACAGACGCCGCGUACCAUUGUCGUAGGGCCCUGAGAAUCCGUUUCCACAUUGAUUUCUUCACACGCAGAGUGUUUUUCAUCAUUAUUUGAAGAAAAACCUUACUUUGUGUGUUGCACAUCUAAGUCAUCAAUUUUGCAUAAGUGUUAGCAUGUGUGCAUUUUUACAAGAUAUUCGAAGAUCCUAGGAUAUUUAGCUCACACCGCAACUUGCAAAAUCUUUUCUCAUCCAAGGGCUUAGUGAAGAUAUUAGCUAGUUGUUCAUCAGUCUUCACAUGGUCGAUGAUGAUAUUGCCCUUGAAUACAUGAUCACGAAGAAAAUGAUGACGAAUAUGGAUGUGCUUGGACUUCGAGUGUUGAACAGGGUUGUAUGCAAUCUUGAUGGCACUCUCAUUGUCACAGUAGAGUGGUACAUUCUUCAAGUUGAUUCCAUAAUCCUUGAAGGUUUGCUUCAUCCAUAGCAAUUGAGCACAGCAUGAUCCAGCAGCAAUGUAUUCAGCUUCAGCAGUGGAGAGAGAUGCACAGUUUUGCUUCUUUGAUGACCAGCAAACUAGAGAGCGUCCGACGAAAUGACAUGUUACUGAUGUUGACUUGCGAUCGACAUGGUCACCAGCAUAAUCAGAAUAAGAAUAUCCAACUAGAUGAAGAUUUGAGCCCUUGGGGUACCAUAAGCCAAGNNNNNNNNNNNNNNNNNNNNNNNNNNNNNNNNNNNNNNNNNNNNNNNNNNNNNNNNNNNNNNNNNNNNNNNNNNNNNNNNNNNNNNNNNNNNNNNNNNNNUUGAGAUAUUUGAAGAAUAUCGACCCCUAAAAAUAUAUGUCUUCAGUUGAAGAAAUUGGUCUGAAGCUGAAGAAAUGAAUCGCGAAGAAUUUGCGAUGAAAUUGAUAUUCCUCAUGAAGAUAUUGAUAUUGAGAAGAUCGGUGGUUCCUGAAGAAAAUCGUUCUGAAGAAAUUGAAGCGUGAAGAUUUACGCUUUCUGUUUUACUUUCUUCGCAUUUGAUGAAUAGGAACACCGUACUGUUAAAGGGGGUCAAAGUAACACUAUGGAAUGGAUUUCCUCAUGAUGCUCAACCCAAGCCAAAUUCUACCAAAAGCCUCAAGUGAGGAAUAUGAGUGACAUGAGGACUCUCACAGUUGAGAGUCCCGACCGUUUCGAUAAGCCAUGCCAAGUCACUGAUCUUAUCCACUCCAACGGUCAUAUUAUUUAAGGGCAUUAAUGUCAAAUCAUGUCGGGAUGCUCCCAGGCUAUAAAUAGCCGCCCCCCACAACCACUAGCUGGUUGGCUGCUCCGCUAGAAACUGACACUUGCCAUAAGAGCAACCCAAUUCCUCAGAGCUUUCGAGAGUAAAUCAUCAGUGAGGAAAUACACCACCCACCGAAACCACAAACCAAACCUAGUGAUUGAGCAUCACUGAAGAAGUUGUUCCUGUGUGGGACUGAAGCCUUUUACCUUUGAGGACUGUGCAUCCUCCAGACGGUUAGGCGUCAUGGUCUAGAGCAAUCCAGCAGUCAAUUGUGGAUCGCCGGGUGACCGAGUUUGUGAGGGUUUGGAAGUCUGCCCUGAAGACUUACCACGAGUAUUGGGCGAGGACUGUGUGUCCUUAGCUCAAGGAGAAUACGGUAGGGACUGUGUGUCCCGGGACUGGGUGUCCUUUGGUUUAAAUACCAAGCCUCUCCAAACCAGAUGUACAACUGUCACAGCAGUUGGAACUAGGUCAUCAACAACAGUCUUCAUCAAGAAUCGGGUUCUAAUUCCUCAACUCUUUACAUUCGCUGUAUUAUGUGUUGAUGACUUUCACUGUGACUGUUUGAAGAAUUUGCUGAAGACUUUCUCUGAAUUUCCUCAACCCCAAAUUCUUCACUUGAGUAAAUCAUCAUCUGUAUUCUGCGUGCCUGUUUGCUGUGCAAUCUGUUUUCAUAAUCUUCACUCUGUAAUACUGCUGUUGUGAACGAUUGCACAACUGAUCCUUAACUGUUUCCGCUGUAAGUUAGUCAUCAGUGAGGAAUUUCCUCAAAAGGAAUUUCCUCAGUGAUGAAAUUCUAAAAAUCUCCUAUUCACCCCCCCCCCUCUAGUCGAUAUAACGCACUUUCACAAGUUCCCAUACAUCAUUCAGCUUGAAUUGAAGAAGUUCCUCUUGCAUAGCUUGAAUCCAUUCAGGUUCCAUGAAUGCUUCAGAGACUUUUGAGGGCUCUGUCAUGGACAGAAAGGAGAAAUGCCCACAAAAGUUAGUCAAAUGUGAAGCUUUUGAGCGAGUAAGAGGACCUGGUGCUUCGAUAUCAUCGAUAAUUUUGUCAAUUUCCACUUCAUUGGCAANNNNNNNNNNNNNNNNNNNNNNNNNNNNNNNNNNNNNNNNNNNNNNNNNNNNNNNNNNNNNNNNNNNNNNNNNNNNNNNNNNNNNNNNNNNNNNNNNNNNCGGAGGCCGGCGGGGAGGCGGUGGCGGAGGCCGGGAAGGAGGUCGCCGGGGAGGGAAUGCAGCUGGCGGCCGAGGCGGGGCUCGCCGGCGACGCGUUCGUGCAGGCCGGCGUGGUCGCCGGCGCCGAGGCGCUCGGGGUCCUCGUCGGCUUGUCCGUCGUCAACGGCAUCCUCAAGCCCGAGGCCUAGAGGGUUAGUGGGCCCGGCCAGUAGUGUUUUUGCUGGCCCAUUCGUGUUGGGUUUAGUGCUUACAGAAAAUUCUGCCUAUCAUUAUUUGUUAACGACUUUGUGGUGUAAUGUACUGUAUUUUAGUAUGAUUUUAUAGAGUGGUGGAUGCUCGUGGUUCAACUAUGUUCUGUAGUAUGCAACAAGAUGAUGCAAAUUGCUUUGUAGGGUUCUCACAUUUUUAUUUUUAUUUUGCUUUGUUGGGAAUUUUGGCUAUAUUAAUGUAUAUAACUUACUGCACGUAAAACAUAUAUAGAACUUACAAUGUUUCAUGAUGCUAAGAGUAUGAUUGGAC
RNAcentral lists this long non-coding RNA (65390 nucleotides) under Hordeum vulgare. RNAcentral describes it as "long non-coding RNA (HVUL_LNC017094)". Lineage: Eukaryota; Viridiplantae; Streptophyta; Magnoliopsida; Poales; Poaceae. The record is from RNAcentral.